This 46663-nucleotide long non-coding RNA is filed under the name Vitis vinifera (wine grape). RNAcentral describes it as "long non-coding RNA (VVIN_LNC001392)". Lineage: Eukaryota; Viridiplantae; Streptophyta; Magnoliopsida; Vitales; Vitaceae. The record is from RNAcentral.
GGAGUUCUAAAUUUAAUAAUUGAAAUUGUCAGUGGAACCAGUGGACAAGAGUUGGUUUGUGGUUGACAAACUUAUCCGUUUGAUCUUUACUUGAACAGUUCCAGUGUGUGGAUGGGUACUGAUGAAGUGUGCGCAUUUAUUUUGAGAAGCCUGCUUGUUCGCAUAGAUUUUAACGACAUGAACAUUGUGGUAAGGUUAGAGAGUAAUGCGAAUGUAGGAGCUUAUAUUAGAAAUGACACAAACACGUAAAUAGAAGUAAUCUAUAUAUGAUAUUACUCAUGGACUACAAGCAAAGAAGUACAAUACAUGGAGUAAGUGAUGAAAUGAGCAUUCCUCACUACUACUGCUUGACUGAUGGAACAUGAUGCACGAGAUAGCAUAAGUAGUAGUAGGAAGCAGCUCUUAUUUGUGGCGUCGGUAUACAUCAUACUAGGUAGAUGGUUCAAUUGGCAUGGAUGGGUGGUGGAGCCUUGAAGUGCUUGUGAUGGGGAGCCCACGGCUUCUUCUCAGGAGUUGGUGGCUUCUUGUAUGGAGUUGAUGGAGGUGUUUCUACUGGAGGGUGGCCAGGGUAGUGACCCUGGGGUGGUGAAGGUUCUUUUGUCGGUGGUGGCCUCACUAUUAUUGGCGGUAGAGUUGGUGGCUUGGGCGUUGGCGGUGGUCUCACUACUCUUGGGGGUAGAGUUGGUGUCUUGUGUUUUGGUGGUGGAGGUGGCUUAACAGGAGUUGGUGGCUUGUAUUCUGGGGGUGGUUUCUCCACCGGAGGUGGCUUAUAAACUGGAGUUGGUGGCUUGUAUUCUGGGGGUGGCUUCUCCACUGGUGGUGGCCUGUAAACAGGGGUUGGUGGCUUAUAUUCUGGGGGAGGCUUCUCCACUGGAGGCGACUUAUAAACAGGGGUUGGUGGCUUGUAUUCCGGGGGUGGCUUCUCUACGGGAGGUGGCCUGUAAACAGGGGUUGGUGGCUUCUCCACCGGAGGUGGCUUAUAAACGGGGGUUGGUGGCUUGUAUUCUGGGGGUGGUUUCCCCAGUGGUGGAGACUUGUAAACAGGAAGAGGUGGUUUGUGCUCAUAUGGGGGUGGCUUGUGGUCAUUAGCAAGUGAGGGAGUGGUGAGGACCACCAAUCCAAGGAACAACACGAGUGAGCAAGCAGAAGACAUGUUUGGGCUCUGGUGAUGCACAAGUAGAAGAAAUGGGAACCAUUUAUAAUGCUUCGAGACCUUGGUUAGCACCAAAAUAUGUCAAAAUCUUGAUUACUUCAUUUCAUACAUAGAUUUAAAAUUAUUUCAAUCAACCAUGAUCCUUAAUUUUCUGGGUGGUCCAUAAAUGUAAUGGGGUCAAUUUGGGACCUAACAAGCUGAGAAGUUUGACAAUGCUGCAAGGCUUCAUCCGAAAGUCCGGGGAAGAAUAUUAGGAGUUACACUCCGUUUCCUUUUUUGGGUGCAUUUUUCUCCUUUAACAUUCUAUUCCCUUUUACAUUAGCAUUUGAUCUUAGCUCAUUUCAAGUACAAGUUUCUUGAACCCUAUACCAUUGUCAAAGUUGAGUAACCAUCUCUACUUUGCUCAAGAAACAUAAAAGACAAUGACAAUAAAGAAAAAGGAGAGAGACCAUACGUGACUUGGUUUAUAGGUGGCUUUGUGUUGACAUUUGAGUAUGGAAGCCGACAUGCAUCUUAGCUUCGAUUUUAAUUAAAUUUGUACAUUAGUGUCUGUGUCAUUCAUUUUGGUAUAAAAGGUCUCUUGAUUUCGUAAGUUUGGUAAGAACCGUUGAAAAUAGCAGUAGCAGCACAUGGUCCACUUUCUUUCACAAAAUAAUUUUAAAAGUUUAGAAGCAUAGGAGGUAACAUUAGUGGCCUUGUGGCUCAGCCACGAGUACUAUGUGGUGCUCGAGAAAUUGAGUUUAAUUUCCUUCCGAUAGUUCAUGAUAAGGUCCGUCACUGUCCUGAGACAGAUUGCGUUUUUUCUUUUUUCCUUUUUUAGUGUUUUAUUGACUAGCUAGGUGUGACUUUUCCUACUUUAAGGCACGAGGCAGAAAAGAAACUGGGAUUUAGUGCUUAAGAAGGCAAAUUUAAUUCGAUUUGGAUCUAAAAUUUGCCAGCAACAUGAGAUUUUCCAGCCUAUCGUUGCUCCACAUAUAGACAAGGCACUUGUAGAAGUGGCUUGUUUGUAGCCAUUCCCGAUAUUUGGACUCACUUGAUUCACCGGACACUUUGAUAAAAUUUAAUAUUUAUUAUUUAAUAAUUUAAAUUGAUUUAAAAUUAAAUUAUACCGAAGUUGUGAUUUAAAAAUUAUUAUUUAAUUCUUACUUUUAAAUAUGAAGAUUAUUUGAUAAAAAUAAUUUAAAAUUUAUUAUAAAUUAUCAAAUUAACAUAUUUAUCCUUAUAAAUUAUAAUUAAAACAGAAAAGGUCAAAUGAUUUGAGUAUCCAUAGAUGUGGUAAAAUAAUAAAAAAGAUUAUAAAAACAAUUAUGAUAAAUAAAGAUAAAAAGUAAAAUGAAUAUGUGAAUUUAAAGAAUAAAUUAAUUAUUUUUAUUUAUUACUUAAAAUUAUUUUUGACUUUAAAUUAUAUUAUUAAAUUAUUUUACCAAACAUACUUAAUUUAGUUAAUAAUUUAAAUUUAAUUUAAGUUAUUAAAUUGAUUCACCAAAUACCCACUUAAUCAAAGACUGAAGUAUACAUUAUUUGGCCAAAUGCAGCUAUUGAAAUUUAACUUUUUCCAAACUUAUUCAUUUUGUGGAAAUAUUUUUAGAAAUGAUUUUAAAAAUGCACUAUUCUGUGUGUUGAUUUUAUAUUUUGGCAUUAAUCCAACAUAGAAAACGGUUCUUAUUUUCGCUGUUAAAUAGGUACCAGAUCCUUAAUUAGUGCCGUGAAUCCGGCAGCUUCCAAUGAGUAAUUUGGACUUGGGUAUUGACAAUGUGUGGCCAUGCUUCUACUAUUUUAUUAUUCUUGAAACAUAUAUGAUAUAUUGGACUUUAUACAGGGAAAAAAAAAAAAAAAAGUCUUCACCAAAAAUGAUUCCUCCUAAAAAAUAGACUCCACAAACUAGGUUUAACAGGAAAAUGAUUCUAAUCUAGUAGUUUCCAGCCACAUGAGCAUUUACGUAACAAUAGUAUAGUUGAUAACGACUUUUAUUUUAUUUAUUUUUAAAUAGUUAAAGGGAUAAUUUUUGAGCUUAAAUUUUAUUUUUUUAUUUAGAAACAUUUUACUUUAUUUUUUAAUCAUAAUUCUAUUAUAUUAAUGUUUUAUUUUCUAUUUUUUAAUAUAUAAGGAGAUACUAAAUUUAUGUGAUUAUUUUUUAAAAAUUUAGUAUAUGAAAUUAAAUAAUUGGAUAUAUAUACAUAUAUCAUAUAAUGUUUUUUAAGUGUGAUUUUUGAACUUUUUAGUCAUUUUAUAAGUUUAAGCUUUUGAUUUUUUUUUUUAAACUUUGGUAUUUUUUAUUUUAUAUAAAACUAUUUUGAUUUAAUUUUAUUAAAAAAUAUUGGUAUUAUAAAUUAUUGUAUUAAUUAUUUUUUUAUAUUAUAAUGUAACUGGUAUAUACUAAAAAAUGUAUGCAAGUUCAAUUUAAGUUUCAAAUUAAAAAAUUUCAUUUAAAUAUUUAAUAACUUGUUCAUAAUAAAAAAUUAAACAACAUAAUACAAAUGAAAAGAAACAUAAAAGAAAAAGGAAAAAAUGGUCCUCUCUGUGUGUCACAUUACUAGGUCAUCCUCUUUUUCUAUGACCCUUACAAUAGAAUGGCAUAUUUGUCAAAUCUACUUAUGAAAGUUGGAAUGUUUCUACAUGUGUAGGGUCCAUUGGAACUAAUGGAGGAAAGGCUUAACGUCUAUGUAAAUCACAACGUUGCCUAGGUGGGCAUAGAUCUAGUUGUGUAACAUGAGAUGGUGUGAGAGUACAAUAUAUGCAUUGUAGUCUCUAUGGGAAGAGAGAUAGGUAAUGGUAGGGUGGUAGACGGUAGGGUGAUCUCUAAUAUAAUGACAUUUGAUGUGGUGGCUUCUAAGAGAGGAGAUAUAAGAGAUGGUAGAAUGACAUUUGGUGUAAUGGUCUCUAGUGCAAUGACAUGUGAUAUGGUGACCUAUAAAGAAGAGAUAUAGGUGAUGGUGAAGUGGUAUGUGGUGUAGUGACCUUUGAGAUAGAAAAUAGAGGUAAUGGUAGGUUGGCAGGUGGAGUGGUCUUUGGUGUAGUGACAUCAAUUAUAAAUGUCUCCAAGGGAGGAAAUAAAGGUGAUGGUAGGUAGUAAAUGUUGAGGUGGUCUUUGAUAUGUUAUGCUCUAAGAGAGAAGGUAUAGGUAAUGAUAAUAGGGAAUUUGACAUAGUGGUGUUGGAAAUAAAAAGUGAAAGUGACCGUAGAGGUGAAAGGGCAAGUGUAAAAGCCUCAAGUACGAAUGGAGUAAUUAAUGUGGAUGGUGCUAACAUAGUCUUAGGUGGAUACACAAAUAGUCAUAGUCAUCAACUAGCUUGCCCACCAUCUGUCUUUCUGCUAGUGAUAGGUUACAUCUUAAUAGUAAUGGCCAACAUAAGUGGUGUGGAUCCGAUUUUUUUACGUGUGUCCCCACUCAAUCGACAAGACUUAUUUUUUAUUAGUGAAAAAUUAAUUUUGGAAAAGUUGGAGUCACCACUUAUUUUAUUUUAUUUUAAAAAGGAAAGUAAAACAAGAAAGAGAACUCUAAAGAAGUGACUUCAUAGUUUUGGAAAAGUUAGUCUUAAAAAAUCCAAGUCUUGGUCCGGAGAUCAGGUUACUUAUUGGGAAGAUACCUCUAAGAGGUAAUACCCCUCUAAACCCUAAAGAAGUCUCUAAUGACUAAGUUGAGGAGAAUGUGGUAAUUAAUUAAUUGAUUGAGGGUACCUAGGUAGACUAAGGUGAUUUCAGAAUUAACAUACCAAGCUAGAAAGUCCAAUCAUGAUCAUAAAAGAGAGUCAAAGUAUGUACCUGAACUGCUUCUCAAACGCUAUCAUAAAACAUCAAAGUUAGUAUAGAAAUAUAACACAUAAUAUUUGUUUUAUCCAAGCAAAUAAAGCAUACAUCUAAGCACCCAAGAAUCACAUCAAGUAUGGAUAUAGUCAUCAAUAGCAUACGUGUCCAUAGAACUAUCGAAAGUAAAUGUGGAGGAGCGUAUCUGGACAACAUAGAUAACUUAUAAUGUGCUUCCACAAGACAUGGGGGUUAGAUAAAAGUUAUAAUAAUAAUUAGUAAAUGAAAGAAUUCUAGCAUGUUUGGUAUCUAAAUAACAUAGCAAAAAUGAACAAGAGUACACGAAAACAUCAAUUAUCACACGAGUCAUAUUGGCUAGUAUUUAAUCAAUAAACCAACAAUAAAUGACUAUAAACAUAUAAAAUGACAUAUUCAAAGAGACCCAAACAUAAAGAGCCUAGAACACAAGCUUACACUAAAUUUAGAAAACUAAAACAUGGAAUUUUAAAAGCAUAAAUUAGCAAACAAAUUGAUGGAAACUAAAUUUAGAUAACUUAAGAAUAUUUUUCUUAUCCUUCAAUUUAAAUCAGUAAGCCAACAAUAAAAAAUUAUAGAAACAUGGAAUAUCAAGAUCAAUGGGAUACCUAAACUAUAAUUUUUAAAAGAAAAUAAACUAAGCAUAAUAUCUACAAAGCAACUAAACUAACAUUUUUUUAAAAAUAAAUUAAACAUGACAUUAAUGGAGUAACCAAACUAAAUUAAAGUAAACUAAAAACAUUUAUGAAUUUUCAAACAUGGAAUCAGCUUUCUUAGUAAAUUAAAAUUAUUAAAAUAAAAUCUAAGCUUAAAAAUGAAUUAAAUACUAACUAAAGCAAAUCUAAAACCAAAUAUUUAACACAUAGGAUCAAUUAUAUUAACAAACUAAAAUUUUAUAAGAACACUUAAACCUAAAGUUGAAUUAAAAACUAACCAAUUUUUAAAACUAGAUCUUUAACCCAUAGGAUCAAUUAUAUUAACAAAUAAAUAAUAAAUAAUAAAUAAAUAAAACUCAAACCUAAAGAUGAACUAGAAAUGUACCAAAGUAAAUUCAAAACAAGAUCUUUAACACAUUAGAUCAAUUAUAUUGACUAACUAAAAAAAAAAAAAAAAAACACUCAAACCUGAAACGAUGUAUUAGAAACUAACCAAAGCAAAUUUAAAAUAGAGUCUUUAACACAUAGGAUCAAUUAUAAUCACUAACUUAAAUUACAAUUUUUGAAACAUGAACUAAUUAGUGUUGGAUUAAUUAAACUAAUUAACUAAAAAAAACUAUAAACUAGAAUACGGUGAAUCAAGAAUUCAAAUCAACAAACAUAAAAUAUGGGUACAAUGAAAUGAAAAUCUAUUAAACUAAUAAGACGGAAAUAUGACAAACUCAUGAACCCACAUUUUGAUCAACUAGGAAAUAGAAAUUAAUAGACCUGUAGCAUGGAUACAAUGAAAUGAGAUCAGUUAAAUUUAUUUGCCGAAAUUCUAAAAAACACAUACACUCAAAUAAGAUCUAAAUCUAAGACCAAGCAAAACUCAAACUUUCUCAAUCUAAUGCAAUGAAUCAAAACUAAAAUUAAAUAGAAAUCAAACCAUUUUUUUUUUAUCUAAUAUAAUAAAUCAAAGCUAAAACUAAACAAAAUCGAAUUUUCUUAAUUUAAUAUGAUGAGUCAAAGCUAAAAUUGAACAAAGUUCAAACCUUUAUAUAAUGGAUCAAAGUUAAAUCUAAAUGAAAUCCAUACUUCCACAAUUUGAUAUAACAAAUCAAAAAUAAAACUAGAUAAAAAAAAAGUCAAAGCCUUUCAACUUGACAUAGUGAAUCCAAACUGAAACGAAACAAAAUUUUAACUUUUCCAAUGAAACCCAAUAUAGAAAAAAUUAGCUUACCUUCUUUAGAAUAUAUGUAUGGGCCAUAAAGAAGUCACCUUGGUGCAUGUGUUCCUCACUUUGACGCCAAUGGACGACUUUCUAUGGUAGCAAAUGGAGAUCCUUUUUGGUGGUAACUUGCGUGUGGAAACCUAUGGUACAACCAAUGUCAUCUUUUAUUGUGCGUGUGGACCAAUUUCUUCUCGAGAACUCAUGUGUGUUGUGCUCAAAAUAUGUUGCCUGUGAGAAUCUAUUGGUAUACCCCACAUAUGGUUUCCUUGAGAGAAUCUGUGGUUGUGUGUGGGCGUUUUCUUCAUGACAGCAUGUGGAUGUUCCCAUCUAUGGUAGAUUGGUUGUGAUGCUUUAGUGCAUGGUCUCCAUAGGAAUAGUGUGUUAUGGAAAUUUGGUUUUUUUAUUGGUGCAUGUUGUCUAGACUUUCCCAUAUGCGUGGACUGUGUGUUCAUGCUUUUCUUUUCGGAUGGUCGCCUGUGUUAAUGUGUGGCGGUGUCUACAAUGAAAGAUACAACCCUUUCUCUCCUUCUGCGUGAUAGAAAAGUCAAUCCCCCAUGGUGCGACUAUGUUCCCUCGUCCUUUUUGAAAAAUUUUGGUGUUUUCCCCCCAAAAAAUCCCCUCCAAAAAUCUAAUUAUAAAUGUCUGCUUUGGCCUAAUGUGUGUGCUACUUUUUUUUUCCUUCUUUUUAUGGUUGUGCGUGCUUUUCUUGAUACGUGGCUUAUUUCUUAAGGAUAUGAUUCGCUCCCAAUUGGUGUCUCAGCUGAUUCAUGUCCUUUCAAUGGUCCCUGACAGUGGUGCCAUUUGAUUCGUGUCCAGCUGGUGUCCCUUGAUUGUGGUCCUCAGAAGGGAGUAAUCAAUAAAAUUUAUAACCUAUUACACCAUGUAUUAGGAUAGCCUUAGCUAGCAUAGCAUAGUGGCUCUAGGGUCGUUUAUUGGGAUGAGUUUUCACUUCACAAUUGAUAUUAAUUCAAGAGCUGAAUUGGUGCCUUUUCAUUUCAAGGUUAGCUUUAAAAGAAAACAUAAUCUUUGGUGGAAAAAGGUUUGGUUUUAAACUAACCAAAAAUAGUAACUGAUUUUACUUACAAAGAAAAGUGUUCUUUGGAGUUUAGAUCACUAGGCUCAGGUUCCUCAUACAAAAAGGAGAGUUCCGAUCAUUUGUUUCUUUUCCUCGCAUUAGAGAAUUAACAUAUAGUUAAUUCUCUAACCGGUGCGGUACAUAUGCUUCCCAUUAAUGGGUUCAAACACUAAAUACCUCUCACUGAUGCACCUUGCAAUGGCUCGUGCCUCUCACCUAGCAUUUAUCAUUCAAGGUGAUCUUUAACCUUGGAUUACCCAUCAAAAGCUCGCAAGAGAUAACUAAAGGAUGUCUCCUUAGAGUCCAAAAGCUUACCAAGUGUUGGUUAUUCUAGAAAAUCCUACCUUCAAACCACCUCCCAAAGGCUCGCAAGAGAUAAACAAGUGCAUCUCAAUGGAUGAAGAUCACUUGCCUUACCAAGUUUUGGCCCAGAUGAUUUAAUGACAUUUUAAGUUAACUAAAAAGAUAAAAACCAUUAACGGGUCACACUUUCUCUUCAUUAAAAACUAAAACAACAAAACUUCCAAUUUAUGCAUGAGGAAACUUACCUGGCUUUCUUCACUUCAAGAGAUGAAGAGCCUAGCCACUCAUCAUUUGAGGAAAAAUCCUCAGAGUUUGAUUUGCUAGAAAUAAAAAUAAUGAGAAAACAAAAAUAUAUAUAUGAAAAACAGAGCAAGUUCUCUGUAAUAUAUUUUUCUUCCUUAUACAAAAGGUUGUCUCUAAGAACAAGUUCCCGAGAUCUAUCUGAUUGUAAAUAAAAUUACAACUAUAUAUAAGAGGUUAUUCACCCCUUUGUUCUUUCUUAAAGACUAAGGAAUCCUAUGAUAGGUGGGUUACAAGGAGAGUUUGGGGAUUUAGACAUCAAAUAUCUAAAGCAAAAUAUCUCAAGAUGUUAGUCGGAAAUAUCAGGAAGCUUCAGGAGAACACCGCGACACUGUAUACUGAGAGAAAAACUCUCCGGGUAAGCUCUAUCAAAGGAUCCAGACAUGUCUGACUGGGAAAGUUGAAACGUCCUUCUCUCCCAUCCGGAUGUGAGAUAUCCGGAGAAAGUGAAAUGUCGGUCGGACAGAAUUCUUUCCCCGGGUGGAAUGAGUUGUGUUGCGCGUCGCAAGGGGGACCGUCUGCGUGUACAAGUUGUAGGGACCCCUCUCCCGGAUGACACCGAGCGCGUAAGGCUAUCCGGAUCAACUCCAUUCGGAUUCCCCAAGAGGACAUGUGGCGUGCUCCCCUAUCAGGACUCCCUUAGGGAGAAGCACACGACACUCGUGAACAUCAUACCCGGACGAUAGCAUGUCCUAUCCGGAUGUGUUGUCCGGAUCAUUGACUAAAGUGAGCAAGCCUUGCUACGUCAUUCGGACAGCUUGCCACAUACCAUGUUCCGUCGCCAUCUGAUGGUGUGUCCGAACGCCUUGUCCGGACAUCUUUUGCUCCUUGCAUUCCGGAUUUGCUUAUGACAAAGGACUUCAAAGCUUCGGUUCUUCAUGUUUCUGAGCUUUCCAUUGCUUUGCCAUGGAUUCCAAAGAACUCUCCUUAAUCACGGAUUGCUUUGGUGAUCAAAAAGUUAUCAAAACACAAAAACUUAACAUAGUUUGAUUAGAAUUGAUUGCAAGGGUUCUUAAUAUGUUAAUUGGGUUAAAAGGUGAUAACUACUACUCAAAAGUGUUUAUAAGAAUUAAUUACAAGCUAUGAAAUAACACUUUUUGAGUAGUAAUCAGGAUACAUCCUAGUUUUUCAUGGAAUUGAUAGUGGGUUGUUGUGCAUGAAUGCCACCAUUUCAACUAUGCUGUUGUUAUUUUUAAAAAAAAUAUGGAUUAUGCGCGAGUGGCAAUUCUCCACUAUGGAAAGUGGAUUGCUCCUUCAACCCAUGCAUGGCUACGUAUUCCUAUGUCUUUCUACUUGUGUUUGAUCCUCCAAAAAAAAUUUCGGUUUAGUGCUAGUAGAUUUUAAGUGGUGGAUCCCCAUUUUUUGAAAAUGAAGUGGCAGCCUCCCAUUUCAAGACAAAAUGGUAGCCUGCCUUUAAUCUUUGGAGAAAAAUCUGUGCAUGACCUUUUUUUUUCCCAAAAAAUCCGUGCAUGGUGUCCUUUAAUAUUUGGAGAAAAAUCUAUGUUGGAUCUUUUCUUUUCUAGAAACAUUUGUGUGGUCUUUUUUGUUAGCCCAAGGGUUCUUCUAAUCAAGUUUUGAUGAUAACAAACCAUGGUUAAGUGACUAAUUGGUUUAAUGAUUAAGAAUCUCAAACAUAAAAUCGAAAAUUCAUCAAAGGACCAAAUGGAUACAAGAUCGAGACGCUUGGAAGACUUGUAAUCAUAGGAAACUAAUGUAAGAUGAAUGCAUGAGUGCACUUAGGAUUUUCACACGUUUCAUGCAACUUAGAAAACCCAGUUUAUUCUUUAAAACUUCAUCCCAGUUUAUUCUUUUUAUGGUUGUGUGUGCUUUCCUUGAUACGUGGCUUAUUUAUUAAGGAUACAUCCCAGUUUUUCAUGGAAUUGACAGUGGGUUGUUGUGUGUGAAUGCCACCAUUUCAACUGUGCUGUUGUUAUUUAAAAAAAAAAAAAAUGGAUUGUGCGCGAGUGGCAAUUCUCCACUAUGGAAAGUGGAUUGCUCCUUCAACCCAUGCAUGGCUACGUAUUCCUAUGUCUUUCUGCUUGUGUGUGAUCCUCCAAAAAAAAUUUUGGUUUAGUGCUAGUAGAUUUUAAGUGGUGGAUCCCCUUUUUUUGAAAACUAAGUGGCAGCCUCCCAUUUCAAAACGAAGUGGUAGCCUGCCUUUAGUCUUUGGAGAAAAAUCUGUGCAUGACUUUUUUUUUCCCAAAAAAUCCAUGCAUGGUGUCCUUUAAUAUUUGGAGAAAAAUCUAUGUGGGAUCUUUUAUUUUCUAGAAAAAUUUGUGUGGUCUUUUUUGUUAGCCCAAGGGUUCUCCUAAUCAGGUUUUGAUGAUAACAAAUCAUGGUUAAGUGACUAAUUGGUUUAAUGAUUAAGAAUCUCAAACAUAAACUCGAAAAUUCAUCAAAUGACCAAAUGGAUACAAGAUCGAGACGCUUGGAAGACUUGUGAUCAUAGGAAACUAAUGUAAGAUGAAUGCAUGAGUGCACUUAGGAUUUUCACACGUUUCAUGCAAUUUAGAAAACCCAGUUUAUUCUUUAAAACUUCAAUUUCAUUAAAACCCGAGUUUUUAACUAAUGUACCUUAGGCAAAAUGUUUUAUAAUUGGCUUAAUAAUUCACCUAAAUACAUUUUCUAAGUGUUAGAAAAGAAAGGAAUUAAAAAAAGGUUUUCGGGGCAAAAAAGGCUCAACCGGUCGAGGCUAUGGUCAACCGGCUCAACCGGUUGAGGAACCAAUCGAUCGGUUGUGCUUGUCCGAUCGAAGACCAAUCGAGGGAUGCCAAAAAAUUUCUCUCUCUCCUAGUGGCCUUCUCUUCCCGGUCGAGGUUCGGUCUAGGCAACGGUAACAUGUCAAGCAUUAAAUGCUCCGACGACUAGUGAAUCGGUCGACCCCUAGCCCGAUCGGACGAGGUUGCCUUUUGCUGUUUUUGACUCCCGAGCUUAGAAACCUAUAAAUUGAGAGCUCCACUUCAUUUAUUGAUAAAAGAGAACACUUGCAUUCAAUAGUCUACCUACCUUUUCUUGAUCAAAAAGCUCUCAUUUCCUUCAUAGUGCAUUAAAUCAUCACUUGCAUAUCCUUUAGUGCACUAUUGUGUGUCAUCCUAGCUUUGUUUUGUAUUUGAGCUAUCCUUAAGCUAGGUUGAGGGAUUAUUUCUUAUAAAAAUCUGAGUGUUAAAGCCUUCAAGAGAUUUGAAUCUUGAAGAGAUUGUGUAAGAGCCCAUUGGAGCCGGAGUCCAAGUGUAAGAAGAUUGGAAGCUUGGUUGAAGCUUCAAGUUAGUGGAACCCUCACUCGGUUAGGAGGUUGAGGAGAGUGGACGUAGGUAAGGAAGUGUCGAACCAUUAUAAACCCGAGUUUGAAUUCUCUAACUCUAUCUCUUUAUUUUGCUUAUAUUGUGUUUGAAUUUGUUGUGAUUGAAAAGAUUUUAAAAACCUAAUUCACCCUCCCCCCUUUUGGGUUUUUUUUUCUUAAUUAAGCAUAACCUUUGUUUUCUAAUUUUCUUUUUAGGAAAAUCCAUGCGUGGUAUGUCCAAACUCUCCAAGUGGCAGUCUGCCUUCUUCUAAAAAAUUUGUUUCUAUUUCUUUAUUCGACUACCUUCCAUGUCUUCCUAAUGAGUGCUUGUGCUCAAUGGUCAAUCCCUGGUGGUUGCCUCCUUUUCCCAUAUAUACGUGUUGCAAAAUCAACAUCCCACUAUAUGUGGGUUGCCUCUAUGGCAAGUUCACAUUUCCCACAUGAAACCUAUGAGUUUCCACCAAAAAUUGCCAUGAAAAAGUCUUUAUAUGCAUCUCAUGCAAUAAAAAGUCAAGCCAAUACUCAUCUUAUCUCGAAAAAUAAGUAACCAAAAUCAAGAUCAUGCCUAAGUGAACUAUGCCAAAAGAAGUGUCCAAGUGACCUAUUAUGAAAAAAGUGCCUAAGUGACCUAAGGUGAAUGUGUGUAAGCUGGAAGGUGUCUAGGAUGUUUAGGACAAUGCCUAAGCCUAAAAUAGGGUUGCCAAGGGUCACAAUGGGGUUAGAUAAAUCUCUCAAUCAGAGUCUCCAAGGUGGCUCAUAAAAGAUAAGCUACACGAGUAAUGAUGGGCCACCAGGGAAUUAUUGUAAAGCACCAAACGAACACAUAAUAGGACAUGUGUUAGAAUGAAAAAAUGGAGGGUUUACAAGUGGUCUCAUGGAUGAGCUUGAUAAUUUAAAUGACUCACAUAAUGAACGUAUGUGAUGUUUCUCUCCAAUAACAAGCAAAACAUCACUAGCAAUAUGAUGAAUGUCUCCUAAAUCACUUGAAGUAGUCCUAGCAAAUCAAUUAGAAAAAUCACACAUAUUGCUCUAAUGUAAUAUUAUAUACAUCUGUCAAUGAAUGGGAGAACUAAUGACACAACCAUCAUGUUGAUAUCUCGAACCCUCUAAUCUCAUAUGUAGGUGGGAUCACACUUAGAAACUCAUAACACAGUAAUGACCAAUCUAAGUCAAAAUGUGUUGGUGAUCGGAGGCCCAUGAAUAUGAAGUUCUAGGAUGAUAAUGACAUCUUAUAAAGUAAUGAUCAUCUCCUUAAUAGAUAGGUGAAAUGUGUGUGUCUUAGGACACCAUCUCUCAACAAGACUUGUGAUCAAUCCCCAGUCUAGUGUAACAUGCCUAUUAUGACAUCCAUCGUAAAAUCUAGACUAGAUAAUAUAAGGACAAAUGUGAGGGUUCAUCUCCCUUUCCCACAUAAAUUUAAAAAAUUAUUAUUGACAAGUUAAGACCAAACUAAGUUGCAAAAUAUAAAUAAGUCCAUUAGAUAACAAAUUUAUGUUUUCUCAUUUUCUCAUUUUUAAAGAGAUAUUAUGUGCUUCCAUGUACAUACAUGCUAAAGUCAAUUAUACGAGACUUAUAUCCAUCUUGUAGAACCAAAUCGAACCUAUCUAAUAGAUCCAGAUUAGAAGUAUGUCCUCUAUACUCCAUAUUUAUAACACAUUUAUAAAGAUAAAUGCUAAAAAAAUGUUAAAGAUAUAAAUUUAAUGAACCAUACUUUAUGAUUUUAAUUCUCAAUUAUUGUUCAUAUUUAUAAGAGAAAAGUUAAAAAAAUUGAUAGAGUUUUCCCUCUAUCAUGGACAUUAUCCCAAAUAAAAAUAAAUUGAUUAUGCAAAUUACAUUAAUAUUUGUAACCAAAUGAUCAAUAACUAUCUUGUAUCAAUUUAGUAAAUAAAUUUAAGUAUAUCUUUUCAUUUAUGACUAACAAAUAACUCAUACUUGUCCAAUAAAAGCCACACCUAAUUUCUAAAAUUUUGUCUUCACCUCAAGUGAGUGUUACAUUGAGAAAGAAAAAAUAUGAAAGAAAAAAUGAACACCUUUUUCUUUUAAUAAAAAAAGGCCAUAACGAAACAUUAAAUCUCACUGUUACACCUAUCUUCAAUGGAAACAUGAGGAUGUGAAUGGUGGCGGUGAUAUUCUUUGCUUGAAGCUCAUAAACAAAUAUUCCUUACUAAGCCUAUGCCAUUUAGUAUUUCAAUAGUGGACCCCCCCCCCCCCCCCCCCCCCCUCCUUGCAUUUCAGAUUUAGCAAACUUAGAACCAAAUAACAAAGUGCAUUUGAACCCAUAAAGAAGUAAUGAGACUCUCCUAUAUUGGCAAUAGAAGAAAUUUUUGGAGGUAUAGGAGAUUCACGGAUGAAGAAGUUGGGCCCCAAUUGAGAUAAGACCCAAGAAAAGAUGGGGUAGAGAGGGAUGGUUGGAAAUUGUAAAGUAAGAUUUUCAAAAUGUAGUUGAUGACUAAGAUUUUGACAAUUUAAAAAAGGUUUAAAAAUGUAGUUAGCAAUCGGGGUUUUGUAACAUUUAAAAAAUAAAAUAAAAUCUCAGGCCACAUGGUAGCCCAUGUGAUUCAGAAGCUUGAGAAUUAUUUUAUAAGAAGACUUAAUUUGUGAUUUUUUUAUAACUAUAUUAUUUUUUUUCUUAACACACGAAAAAAAUUAUGAAAUAAGACAAUUUUCCUAAGAAAGCAUGUAAGUGACUCUUGGUUAUUUUAUUUAACUUCUUCUAGUUUGGAGAGGAUUAAUACCUUUGCUUUUACUCACUUGCUUGGAUAUGUACACGUUGUUCAUGUCACUUUUCAUUUAAUUUUCUGAUUAAGGGAAUUGGAACCGUACGUAACUGUCUUUAUUCCCUCUGAAACUUGGACUUGGAGUUGGACUUUCAAUCUCAUCAGUCGUGUUUCCAUAAAAAAGAAGAUGGAUUAACCAAUUUUCCUAUGCCUACUAAUCAUACACAAAACUCCACUUCCAAAUAAAAAGGAAUGGGAUAUCACUUGUUAAUAGUGGCUAAAGACUAUUAAUAACCAUGCAAAGAAAUGUCACAUUUUUUGUUCUACGCAAAUUUUAUUCAUCAACUACUAGAACCAUUUCAUACAAUAGUAGCUUUUCGAUCCUUUGAUAAAUGGACACUUGAUGUGAUAACACCAACUACACCUAUAUAUUCAAGCAAUCAUGCGUAUAUAAUAGUGGAUAUGGAUUACUUCUCUAAAUGGGCAAAAGUUUUGUCAUUCAAGGAAAGUGAACGAGGAAACACAAGUUUACUUUCAUCGGAACUAAUAUUAUAUAUUGAUAUGACUUCCCAUUAUUACUUACGAUGGAAUAUGCUUCCAUAAAAUGGCCUAGAUGAACAAACUAUCCAAGAAGUUUGGGAUCAAAUAAUAUAUAUAUAGUUCAUGUGUGAUUCUUUGGUUGACAACCUUGUUAAGGGGUGAGUGAAGCACUUUGGGCAUACCACAUACUACAUGCUAGACUUCCACCCAAGCUACCCUAUAUUCCUUAUGAACAAAGUAGAAGUUGUCAUCUCUCUUGAAUACCAAAUCCUUUCACCUAAUAAUGCUAUCUAAAAAGGUCUUAAAAAGGAUAAAAAUGCGCAUAUUUGAAUUUUUGAAUUAGGAGUGCUACUUAAAAAGAAGCUAGAUAUACAAUAAUAGAAUGUUAUCAAGCAUAUCUCUUCAAAGUUUUUGACCAAAAAAUAUAUGAUUUCUCAUUUUAGGUAGGAGACUUAGUACUCACUAUUCAAAAACCAAUUAUCAUUACUCAUAAAAACUAAUAGAAAGUUUGGGCCAAAGUAGGAUGGACCUUAUAUUAUGCAACAAUUAUGCCUAUAAAAUUGUUGCAAAAGAGGUUUUAGAAUCAAAUCAAUGAAUGAAAAAUUAUUAAAGCAUUACUAUGCUUGAAGGCUAGUCAUUUUCCCUUAAAGUGCAAUAUUAAGUUGCAUAGUACUAUGUGGAUCCGCAUUUUUCACAUGCGUUCCCACUCAUUGUCGAGACUCACUUUUUAGAAGUGAAAAAUUAGUUUUAUUAAAGUCGAAGUUGCCACUGGGGAUUUGAACCCUAACAAAAGGUUCAAUUUAAGGAUAAAAAUAUCGAUAAUCACAUAUAUAUAUAUUGGUACUUUGAUUUUAUGAAUAUAUUGAAGAAAUAUGGACAAAUAUUUUGACACAAAAUAUGUACAAAAUAAAAAUUAUAUAAAAAGUAAAAAUAAAUAUUUUAAAAUUAUUUUUUUAAAUAUAUAUAUAUAUAAUUUGACAUAUUUGAUAAUAAUAUAUAAGGGUCUCCAAAAAGCCCGUGGCCCGCUUUAGGCCCGGUCCGACCCGACAGGCUAAAGCCCGGCCCAAGCCCGCCGGGCCCAAGCUCGGCCCGAGCCCGUUUAUGGGUGGGCCGGGCCGCGAGCCCGUAGGCCUGCUCCUUUAAAAAAAAACUACAAAAAUAAAAAGUAUUAAAAAAAAUAUUCAUUUCAAAAUUUUAUUCAUUGAAUGUAUAAUUACAUUUGAAAAUGUGGGAAAAGUUUACAUCACUACAAAAUAAAUACAUCCCAACUAGGUUGGCACCUAUUUAUUUGUCAAUCAUCUGUAUUUUUCAACCACAAAAAAUAAAAAUAAAAAUAUAAUAUACAUUUAGUCAUUAUUUUCUGGCGGUGAUGGCGAACUAUCAUGCAUCCAUGAAGAUCUUGAUAAUUUUAAAGAUUCCAUAUCGGUAAGCAUCUUUGUUUCUCGAAUGGAAUCAUACAUCCUUUUAUCUGCUAUUUCCCAAUCUUUCACACAUAUCCCUGCUUUAAUAACAUCUGACGCUAAGUUGCAUCGUUUUUUACUAACUACUCUUCCACCUGCACUAAAAGCAGCUUCUGAUGCAACUGUACUCACAGGAACUGUUAGUACAUCACGAGCAAUUAUAGAAAGCACAGGAUAUUUGUGUUGAUGUGAUUUCCACCAUAUUAAAAUAUUAAAAUCUUCUUGAUCUUCAAAUGAAAUUAUAUCAGUAUUAAGAUAUUUAUCUAAAUCAGAUGUAUUAUUUGGAGAAUUAUUUGUUGUCUUUUUUCGACUUUUCAACAUUUCUAGAGCUCCUUUAUAAAAAGAUGAGGAGUUUGUAGAUGUAGGUGGUAAUUUAAUAGUAUUAAUAUCAUUACCAUAUUUUUCUUUAUAAUAGUUAUAUAAAUUAUAUAAUAAUGAAUUUAUUUCAUUUUUAAUUUCUUCAAUUUUUAUUUGGUCAUUAAAAUAAAUAAUUGUUAACCAUUCAUCCAAAGCUUCAAAUUUCAAUCUAGGGUCCACAAUUAAAGCAAUAUAAAAAAUUAAAGGUAUUUCUCCCCAAUAUUUUCUAAAUUUUUAUAUCAUUACAAAUAUUGUAUCAUUAAAUAUUUCAAAACUUAAAUAUUUUUGAAGUACAAUAAAAAUAUUAGUUAUUUGCGUAAUAACUCGAUUUGAAGUUGGAUAAUAUACACCACAAAAAAUGUUUGUUGAAGUAUCAAAAAUUUCAAAAAGAUCUCUUAAAACAUCCGCAAUAUGCCAAUCAUAAUCAUUUAAUGCAUAAAUAUCUGCUUCAUAAUCAUUGUUAAUUAAUUGUAUUUCAUAUAAUUCGACUACUUUUCUAUAUUUUGUAAUAUUUUCUAAAAGUUUAUAUGUGGAAUUCCAUCUAAUAGCCAUAUCCAAAUUUAUAUUUUUUCUUUUCAUAUUUAACAUUUUGCAACAAUCAAAAAAUAAUUCAUGUUUUGCUUGAAAACUAUUAAUACUAUAUGCAAUGCCUCUAAUUUUUUUCCAAUGUACUAUCAACAUUUUUUAAUCCAUCCUUUACAAUUAAAUUUAAAAUAUGUGCACAACAACGCACAUGAAAUAUUUUAGCAUGAUCUUCUUUUACUUGCCAAUAUCGUUUUAGUCUAUGUAUUGCUGCAUCAUUAUUAGCAGCAUUAUCUAAUGUUAUUGUCAAUAUUUUAUCACGAAUGCCUAAAUCUAUAAUUUCAUCAUUUAUUAAAGAUGCUAUAUUUUUACCACUAUGUGGAGUAUUUAUUAAUUUAAAUAAAAUUAUUCUUUUAUUUAAUUUCCAUUCAUUAUCAAUGUAGUGAACAAUUAUAUAUAAAAAACCAGUAUGAGUUAAAGAUGUCCAAAUGUCAGAUGUUAAACGAAUAUUUCCUUCAAAAUUUGCAAAAUUUUUUUUUAAAAUUUCUUUUUGUGUAUAAAUUUUUUUCAUAAUAUCUCUUUUAACUGUAUUUCCAGAUCAACCUUUAAAUUGAGGAUUAAUACCUCGUUGAAUUGUUCUUGCAAAAUCAUGAGUUUCCAUCAUGUUGAAAGGUUGUUCUGCUCUUAUUAUAUAAUCAAUCAUUUCUUCACAACAGUUAGAUUCAUCAUAAGAAAAUGUUUUUAAAUUUCCACUUUCAUUUUUACUUAAUUGCAUAUAAUUUCUAAUAUCUACAUUAUUUUUAGUUUUACAAUUUUCAUGAUGUCUUUUUAAAUGACUUGUAUCUGCAUUUGAGCCACCAGUAAGAAAUUUAUUACAAAUUUUACAUUUUGCUUUUAUUUUUUUUUUAUUAUUUUCUAAAAUUAUUUCUAUUCUAUCAAAAAAAUUCCAUAUAUUUAAAGUAAAUUUUUUGUUUGAUGAUAUUUCAUCACAUGGACUAGACGAAGAAGCACUUGUCAUAUUAUAAUUAUUGAUAAAAUAUUAUGCCAAAAAUAAUAAAGUAAUAAAUAUAAAAAAAAAUGUAACAAAAAAAAUAAAGUAGUAGGGGUGAAGUAUGUUACUCAAUUAGAGAACCUAUGCAGAAAUUCCUAGCAAAUUUGAACUCUUGGAGCCACCAAUGCUUGUUUUGCACCAUCAACAAUAUUGUAUAAUUUGAGGGAAAAAUAAAAGAAUUUAAAAUAUUGUAGAAUGUGAGAGAAAUAGAGAGAAUUUGAUGAAAAAAUGAAAAGGAAGAAAAUGUAUUUAUAGGAAGGUUAAAAAUAAUAAUAAUAAUAAUAAUAAUAAUAAUAAUAAUAAUAAUAAUAAUAAUAAUAAUAAUAAUUGGCCAUGUGACCGUUGGAGGCUUAGCUCCAACGGUCACAUGGGCUGGAGCUAGGCUCCAACAGUCACAUGACCGUUGGAGCCUUUAAUUUUUUUUUUUAAAAUAAUAUACUUUAUUUUUAUAUAUAUAUAACUAACUCAAUUAAUAAACAUAAAAAGAAUAUAGUUCAGUUGGUUAGAACCUUGAAGUUUAAACAUGAGGGGAGGGGUUUGAAUCCCUCCCUCUCCCUUAGGGGCUUUUUUAAAAGCCAUUUUGGCUUAUUUCAAAAAGCCUGUCGGCCCGACCCGCCCUGCAGCCCGCGGGCCUAGCAUUUUAGCAUGGCCUGGUCUGUUGACUAGUCAAAUGGCUCAUAGGCUCGGCCCGAACUGGGCCGCGGGCCUCUUAUUUACGGACCGGCCCGACCCGGCCCGCCCGUUGGAGACCCUUGAUAAUAUCUUCUAUAUUAAGUUACAUUAUAGUUUAUUUUACAAUAUUAUUAUGAUAAUAUGUCUAAUUUUAAAAUAUAUUUAAUAUUAAAAUUAUGAUCUAUUUUAAUUUAAAUGUAUUCAAUGAUAUCAAAUAAAUAAUAAUAUAUGUAUAAUUCUUUUAUUAUUUAUAUUUAUUAUUUUUAAUAAAUAUAUAGAUUAUAUAAAAAAGACCGGAUAUAUCUUUUCAAAUUUUGUAUCGCUCUCCAAGGAUAUUAGAUGUAUGGGAAUUUGUAUUGCUAUCUACGGAUACGUUGAUAUAUGGGUGAUUUAUCAGGAUAAUUAGAAAUUCUAAUUAUGUAAGCAGGUACGGAGUUCUGUGUCGGUGCGAUCUUGUCGACAACAGCUCCAAAUUGUGCAUCUUGCUCAUAGAGAGUAGCGGAAUGCACCAAUCGUAGGCUCAGAGUACCACUGAGUCGUCUGGCAGAGACCCAACUGAAGGUGCCUGUGUUGUUCCUGAUCUGAUCAGGCUUCAAACUACAAGGUGGAAUACUGGUUCCCCUAUAUCAGAAGCUGGAGAUACCCACCCCAUAUGCUCGUCUGGAUGUGCUCCUACCCUUUGAAGCCUUCUUCCGAGUCAAGUCCGAAUUGAUAAGGCUAGUGAGUUCCCAACCAACUGUACUCAGCAUGCUGCCAGGUGGAGACCCUCCAUAUUUGAUGGCUUCCUAAUAUUAAAAUGCUGACCACUGGUCUUCAUGUUCCACAGGCUUAAUUGUGUCCUUUGCUGAAAGAAUGGAUAGUGAUCCAUUUUAACACAUGAUUCACGCCGUCUUUGCCAUUCUUCAUGGUCUAGCCCUUUUAUAUAUAUGCUUCCUGAACUGUUGCUAUUAAUAAAAUGUGGUAUCUAUCCCGUACACCUUCCUGAUGGCCAGCGAAUGCAGAAGCUACAGAAACGGUUCCAUCUUUUGCUUCCGCCACUUUGGCAUCCUCCAUGAUGAGAUCGAAGGUGAAUAAUCAUAUUCUGGGGAUUUAUGUCCUGGAUAUUCUCAGUAAUGCCCAAUUUCCUGGUGCCGGCCUCAUUUCCAUGGGAACUGAUGGAUAACUUAAGGCUUCUACCAUCUGCGUGGUUCGCUUCUAACACAGGAAACUUCACGGCUAAAAGCAAGAUACCAAGAACAUCAAGGCUGUGACAAAAAUUAGUAUUUUUAACUUGUAGGAAUUUGAAAGGCAACCAACCAUCUAGCUCUGUUCUUAAAGCUCCCAUAGGAGGAUCAGAGGCUGGAUUGCUCAAGAUGAACUCAUCCAUUGUUGCACUUAAAAAGAAUUGGCAUGAAUUGUGGCCGCUCUAAUAGGUUCCCUAAACCAUCAUCCAAGUGGGCUUGCGGAAGGUAGCGAGUUUAAAACACCUAGGGCGAUGAACAGUGGACUGUGAUGCUCACAAAAGAGAAAAGGAAGAAUUCAAUAAUUCCUAAGAAUCCAUUUGCCUGUCAUCCAAAUUUUUAUAUUCUCUUCAGUCUGACGCGUUAUGCCAUAUAUUAAAAAUAGCGGCUUCUUCCAAGCCGAGACAGACUGUGCAAAGUUCGCAAGGCCAAUCAUCACCAUAAUCUGAAGUUGGCCUCCUCAAUCGCAGCUUGUAUCCGAAUGCUCACUUCACGGGAUGGAUUGUAAUGAAAACUAAUCUCAGUCCCAGCUAUGGCAGCAUCCUCACUUGACAGCAUUUUCUGCAUAUUCUAGAACAAAGCAAUAAACCCUCAAAGGCUCCUUCGGAUCAGAGUUAGAAGACUGUCCCUCAGGAACGUGAACACUAUGGUGGUUCUGAUAAGCAGUGAUAUUGCAUUAGAGCCUUUUGGAACAAGAGGAUCUUUUCAGGUGGAAACUGUAAACUGCUUCAUGUUGGGCUGCAACCUUUUCUUCAAGCAAUACUUUCUUUCUGUAUCACGACUUAUGUUGCUUCCGGAGCCAUCCCGUGUGGACUGCCCUUCAGUGAAAGAAUAUGUGUGUUGACAUGUUGGAUUGUAAUCUUUGUUCCACUCUAAUGGCUUUUGGUCCUCCUCUUUCUCUUUAUGACAGAGAACCAUUUAGUGAUCCAUCUCUAUAUUGUAGCAUUGCUGGUGCUUUGCAAUACUACACUCUCACCAAGCAUAACAUCUAUUUUUCCGUGACCAAAGUAUGUCGGUUUAUGCAUGCGCAAACUCUUAUUCAUUGGCAAGUUGUCAAGCGUAUCUCAUGAUUUCCCAAAGCCACAAGUUCUUAUGGUCUUUCUGUUCAAGCUUACAAUGAUCUAUCUUUUCUUGGUUAUACUGAUGUCGAUUGGGCUAGUUGCCCUGAUAACAAGCACAAUACUAGUGGGUACAACACUUUUCCUGGUCCUAAUCUCAUUUCAUGGGCAUUUUCAAAGCAGAAGGUUGUGUCUCACUCCAAUAACGAAUCUGAAUAUAGGGGACUCACUAAUUAAUGUUGUUGCCAAGGUCACUUGGAUUGAAUCUGUCUUACGUGAGUUGCGUGUUUCUCUACCCCAACCACCAAUUUUGUUGUGUGACAACAUUAGUGCUACACACUUGGACAAACCAUGUUGAAAUACACUAUCAUUUUAUCCAUGAAAGGCUUAUGCAUCACACACUCAAAAUUCAAUACACCUCUUCUAUAGACCAACUAGUCAAUGCUAUGACCAAAGCUCUUCCUUCAUCUCACUUGUACAAUCUUCAGUGCAAGCUGAUUGUUCUUCCCAAACCACUCAACUUGAGGGGAGAUGUUAAGCCAAUUUAAUAAAUUGAUUUCUUUUGGUUAAUUUGUUAGAAUCAUUUUUAUUAGAGGUUUGUUUGUACAAUUACAUCCAUUUAUCAGGAGAGUACACGUGUACAACUCCUCUUUUAAUCUCACCAUUGUAUAUAUAUGAUACACGACCUUACUCAGAAUUGCAUAACAUUUCCUCUGCUCAUUCCUUUUCUUCUUUGAAUUUUCCCUUACCUCACUGAUUUUGAUUUAUACCUGGUGUUUUCACCUUUGGUCUCUACCUUUCUAGCCAGUUUUCUAAUUAAUCCGUAUAUGGUAUACCUGUCAACUAAUGAGGAGAAAGAGAAAAGGGGAUUGCUGUUCCACCAGCUACAUAUAAUAAUUAAUUACAAUCAUGGUAAUGGAUCCUGAAAUCCAUCCUUUGUGGAUUUUGUACGGAAUAUUGUUGUUAUGUAUGUGGGCUCACUUAGAUGUAUAUUGCUAGCCUGUCUGGGAAAUGUGAUUGCAGGUCCAGAUUAUGAUGUUGAUAUUAGUGGGAUAAGCAAGAGAUGCAGUUAACACGUAUGUGAUGGACUUGAGUAACUUUUCCAUUUCAGUCCAUUUUUUAAGAUUAUGCUUAGUCUUAUUACAAGGAAAGACCAUAAGAAUCAUGAGUCAUUGGCAAGGUAAUAUCAUUCCCUCUUUACAGGCUUCUUCACCUUUUGGUUUUUUUAAUAUCCAUCAAGAUCUUUUAAUUGGAGGACAAUUACAAGUAUAUAUAUAUGUAUUAAAAGGGGAAAAUAUUAAAACAGGAAAUUUUAGGGAAAAUAUAAUAAUUAUUUCUUCCUUCUUUCCCAUAUAGAACUACACAAAAUAAAACUUUAAUAAUUUUUUCUUAUCUUUUUUAUUAUUAUUUUUUCUUAGAAACAUCCGUGGUCUCACAAGCUUGUAAUCCUAGAUUGUUAGGCUCCUUUAACAGUGCCCCAACAUCGUGGUCCAAUGACAAGCUUCCACGCCUUAAAAUCAGAAAAUGCCAUUAAACUUUAUCAGACAUUACAGUUCAAGACAAAGCUUUCAUUUGCUUAAUGUGAUAAUGAAAUUGUUAAUUUCAUUUCGUGGGCAUCUAAAUUUGGACGAGCAAGACCUCUGAAUUCCCUGUUUUUAUCACCAGCAGAGGAGAUAAAAUCUUAAUGGUGAGAAUCUCCACGUGAAAUUUAUGUGUACUGUCAACAUAUUUUUGUUUAUAUAGUCCAGUAGCUGCAGGAAGUCUAGAUUAUAUAGGUAGCAGUAGCACUAUUUAUAGCACUCGAUAUUCGCUGUAUGAAUACAUUAAACCUUGUUUUCAAUACGCAUCACAAGCAAGUACUAGAUACUACAAGGAGUGACAGUCGCAUCAACAUUUCUUGAUAAUAGCAGUGACUGAUUUAUACACAGAACAGUACUGUACACGUACCAGUCACCAGAGAUAGGAUCUUAUUCCUACAUACGACUCUUAUUGAUCGAAGUCACUCAGUUGGGGUAGCCUGGAGUUGGAGGUUUGUGUGGUGGCUUCUUCUUUGGAGGAGGCUUUAUCUUUGGAGGCAUCAUCUUUGGAGGCAUCUUGUGUGAGUCUUCUUCAGCAUUCUCUACAGGAGGAUGGCCAGGCUUAUGACCCUUAGGUGGUUUGCCAACUGGGAUUGGUGGCUUGUGUCCUGAGAGUGGCUCCUCUUCUUCGGGAGGUUUGCCAACUGACGUUGGUGGCCCGUGUCCUGGGGGUGGCUUGUGUUUUGGGGGUGGUUUCACUCCACCGGGAGGUUUACCAAUUGGUGUUGGUGGUUUGUGCUCAAUCGGUGGCCUCUCAACUGGGGGGCGCUUGGGGUAAUCAGCGAGUGAAGAAGUGGUGAGAACCACCACUCCAAGCAACAACACUAGCAAGUAUGUGGAAGACAUCUUUGAGUUUGGCUCAGAUGGUGUAGAACUAGAAUCCUGGGUGGCCUUUUAUAUUAGUUGGGCCCUAUGCCCGAACGACAAGUGUCAUGGUGACACAUAAAGUGAUGGGGUCGAUUUGGGCCUACCGGAUUUGAAAACUUGGACAAUUCGAGAAGCGUCUCCUGACUCCGGGUUGUAAAGUGAAAGAUUAGGUAUCGACCAUUGAAGUAUGAUCACAACUUUUGGCCUUUGGCUCUCUCUACUGCCGUAUAGCUUUUUUCCUUUGGAUAUUUUUCUUAGCUAGACACAAUUAUUGAGCAGUCUAAUCUCGAAAUGGGAUUAGUAUAGCUUUAAGCAAAUUUAUUAUAGUUAGUGGAGGACUUUUAAGAGUGCAGACGACAUUUAACACAUGCAUGCAGUAGUAUAGGGGACAUAACACUAUUCUUUUUCCAAAGAUUCACAUGAUUUUUAUAUUAUAGUAUUGGCACAUUGUAUGUAGCUGGUUUUGUGGUUAAAAUUCCAUAUGUAGACACUGGCGUUUCUCCAUUUCUCACAAUUGAUGUUUACCUCCACGAUUACUAGAUUAGAUAUACCAAACAAUAACACAUUGUAUAAUCUAUCCGCCCUUCAAAAUCUACUGUAUGAUGAAAUGUUUCAUGUGUGUGUGAAGUGUUAGAAAUGCACUAUAGGCAACAUCAUCUUCUUUUGUCUAGGCUUGGGCCUCAAAUUAUACUCCCAUGCCAUGAUAAAUUUUCAUGUGCAUUCUCUAAAGAAGAGUGUCUUGAAUGUGCCAAAUCAUUUUGAUUGAUUUUAUGAUGUUAAUUGCUCCGCAUAUGGAUGGGUAUGUGCUUUAUUUGCUUAUUCAAUCCACAAUUACCUUGAACUGAAGUCCUAUUGGAGCUCUAUUAUUUUAGCAACGUCCUGUCAAAUAGGCUGCUAACUUGGGGUGGUAUGGACCCAAUGAUCCAUCUUAAUCUUGGGUUGAUUUUGUCUGACUCUAUCUAUCUCAGAGAGAACCAGGAUCACCAGUGCUGGUCUGCUUAAAGAAGACUCAGUACUGGAUUAAUAUUGGUUUGGGUCAAUAGCUUAUAAUGCAUUGAAUGCAGAAUAAACAAGAUCAAUGAAACCCAAAACACACUGCCCACACAACUUCACUCUGGUGUCUGUUAUUCAUCAAUUCUAUUCCCACAUGAACUGGUUCAAGUUUAAGAAAAUGACAACGGAUCCACUGUAUUAACUUGGUUUUGCUUGGUUUUGAGCUAGUUGCCAAACCAGCCAUGAGUUUUACCUCUAAUGUCAAUGAACAAACCCCAAAUGAACAACUGCAACAGCUUAAAGAGAAGGAAUGGAGAUGAAAAUCCCUGUUUCUUCUCAUUCUGGGGACAAAUUAGAACAUAACUACAAAGGUUCUAUUAAUUGACUUACUCUACCAUGAAUUAUGGUUCUUUGGUUUUCCAAAUUUAAAUUGUACAUGAGAUUAUUUUUUUCCUUUAUAUAUAAACAUAUUAAGGUUUUCUUAUUUCGUGGGCAAAUGCGCUAAGGAUGAAAGUCAUUUCAUUUGGCUGCAACAGCAUCUUAUAAUCAACAUGCAUAAGCAGCAGUUUUAAUUGAUCGAUUGAACACCGACUCACAAGAAUAGAUAGAAUGGUACAAGACAGCUCUUAUUAAUUUAUACUCGUUACUCAUUUUAUGUAGCCCCAUUAAGAUGGCUGGCUGGACCACCGAGGUCUGGGGGUGGUGUUGCUUGUGUGAUGCAGCGGGCCGGGCAGACACUUCUCUAGUUGCUUCUAUUUGGAGUUAGAGGAUCAGUCUCUGCCAACCUUGAGGACUCUCUACCUCAGAGGGUCCAGGUGGUGGACUCUGGUGUCGGUAGCUUUGAACUCUCAGUAGACUAGUGUGUCUUAAUCAGUCACUGCCAGAGGCUGGCGUAGGCAGUGACGAUAAGGUGAGACAAAUUACCGAAUAGUCAAUAUCGACUGCACUUGACCAUUAUAGAUUUGUUCUGACAAAAGUGAGAAAAGGGAGAAAAUCGGAUGUUGACCUUUAUAGAAAAAGAUAAGAUUUACUGCAACACAGAGCACUGAUUUGUUACUUGGAAACCAAGUUAUGCUAUUAGCUAGCCUCCAUUAGCAGCAGGGUACCUUGCUGCCUGAUCCUAAUCUGAGUUCCCAAGGUUUCAAUCUUCGUUUGUUAACGCUUCAGGAUUUGGAUAUUUCAGCUUCGUUUCUCCAUUUAGCCAACGCUGCCUGGUUUGGAUUUCAAUCCUCAUCUGGAACAUUCUUUUUUCGGUCUGAUUCAGGAAGUGUUUGGUGAUAGUUGAUUAAAAUUAAACAGUACUAUCAUACAAAUAAAGCUGAUCUAAUUUUGGUGGGCAAUAUACCAACUCAUUUAUUCUUGAAAACACCAUGGGGAAUUGGAGGUCCAUCCGAAGUACUAUUUGAUGGGACUCACAAAAAGAACAGGUGCACAUUUAUGAGAUCCGUGGAAGAGAUAACUAUGACAGCUAUGCAUGUACAACAGAUUUAUGUCGAGUUCACCUCGUAGAUAUUUUGUUUUCAGUGUCGGUGGACCCCAAAAUGGAAAUCGGAAAUUAAGGUUAUAUUUAUUUUUUUAUUUAAUUUUAAAUAGAAUUUUAAUUUUUAAUAAUAUUAAGUAUUAAAUUAUUUUUUUAAGGGUAUUUUAUUUUUAUUAAGUAUUAAAAAGUAAAAAAAAUUAAUAUGUUGCUUUUUUAUUUUAAAAAAAUUAUAUAUUUUAAUUUUUUCUAUUUACUAAAAAGUUUAUAAUAAAUUAUAAAAAAAUAAAAAAAUAAAAAACUUAAAUUCUGAAAAUAAAUUAUUUUUAAUAAAAAAAUCCAAAAAAGCAAACACCACCUAAAUUUGAGAUGACUCAAAAUUUUAUAUUUUUUUUCACCUAAAUUAUAUUCAUAAAUUUAAAAUUAAAAAAUUAGGAAGUUGAAUUUUAUUUUGGAUAAUUGGAAACUACAAGAAAUCAAUAAAAAUAUUUGGAAAAAAAAGAAAAAGAAAAACUAUCUAUAUAUUCACCCCCUUCUAAGAAACAUAACUUUAGUUUUUAACUAUUUUUUAAAAUAAUUUUUGAAAAAUGUUAUAUAAUAUUUUAUAAAACAAAAAAUCUGUUUGACAAUUUGAUAUGUCUUUAACUUAUUUUUAAUAUUUAUAUAUAUAUAUUUUAAAAAUAAUUUUAUAUUUAGAACUUUAUCUUUAAUUAUUAUAUAUAUUUAUAUAAUUAUUUUUUUUAAAACAACUCUUAAAAAAUAAGUGAAAGUAAUUGAAAACAACUCAAAGAUAUUUGAUGAAAACACUCUAAUUUGUAUUUUUGAGAAUAAAAAAAUAAAUAAAUAAAUUUCUAGUUAUCAAAUGUAUUUUUUAAUUCUUUUAUUCUAAAAAAUAGAAAAUCGUUUUUGAAAAUAAUUAUUAAACAACAUUCUUAAAAAUUCACUCGUUACAAUCUAGAUUUAAUGCAAGAAUGAUUGAAGGAGUCCUCCAAUAGAACCCAAAGUUAUAAACAUGAACAAGAAGCCCUAGAAACACCAAAGAUCUCAUAUGGUAUAUAUAUGAGCUUGAUUGAGAACUGUUUUAAAUUCAGUUUUUUUUUUUUUUUUUUUUUUUUGUUUUCAAAGUCAAAACAAGUUUACUUUUAAUUUUUACUUCUUUUUUUUAAUUUUAUAAAUAACAGUUUUUUAAUAAUUUAUUUUGAAAACAUGAUUAUUUUUAAAACUUAUAAUGAAAAUAGGAAUUUUUUUUUUAAUAUCAUGGUUAUUUUCCCUUCUUUUAAGGAGGGCUAUUUUAAAAAUAAAUUUACAAAUAUGAAAAAUGAUUCAAACUAAAGCAGUACAAAUAAAAAACAUUUUUAAGAAAUAUUUAAAAAUAGAGAAAAUUAUUUGAGAACAUUUGAAGUCCUUAAAUAGACUUUUGUUUUAGAAAAGGCAAGAUAAUUAUUUUUGAAAAUUGUUUUCAUAAUGAUAUGCAAAAACCUACGUAAAAACCAUAAUUAUAAUCGGCCACAUAUCAAAUCUACUAAAUAUGAAAAGUAAGUACAUAAUUAUAUUUGACUUAGAUGCAAGGAGGAAAAUGUCGCGAUAUUAUCGCCGAAAUAUCGUGUGUCGAAGGGUAUCGACACGAUUUUUCUUGCAGAAAUAUCGGCCAGUCGAUUUUUCGGGAUAAAUCUCGAGAAAUCGGCAAUUUAUCGCGAUAUAUCGGCGAUUUUUCCUCGAUAUAUCUUCUGGUCAACGCGGGUCAACGGAGUCAACACGCUACAGUGAAAGUCAAAUGUGCUACAAUGUCCCCGCUACAAUCACCUCCCCAAACAAAUUGCCAAAUUGCUUCCGAGGGGAUUUGAACCAGCCUUCUUGCCAUUUGGGCUAACUCGCCCUUAUGAUAUAUAUUGCAUUAAACAUAUAUAUACUUAAAGUCCUUAUAUAAAGAAAAUGUUAAAAAAAUAUUUUAAAGAGCAAAUUAAUUAUAAUUAUUUUAUAAUUAAAAGCAAAAUUUUCUUUUAAUUAAUUACCAAAAAUAUAAAAAUUAUAUAAUUUUCUUCAUAAUGUUUUUAAUAUCAUUAAUAAUUAAUUAAAUAUUAAAAAAUUAUAUAUAUAUAUAUAUAUAUAUAUAUAUAUAUUAUAAUUUAUUUUAUAUUGUUUAAUACAAUUGAAUUAAAUGGAUCAUAUUUUAAUAUUAAUAUAUAUUUUAAAAUUAGACAUAUUGUAAUCAAAUAUCAUAAUAUUAUAUGUAAUUUAAUAAUAAAUGUACACUUAUAAAAUUCAUAUUUUUAUCGAUGCAUACAAUAUUAUUAUCAAAUAUGAUAAAUCAUGUUAUACAUAUAUCAAAAUUUUCAAUAAAAUAACUUUAAAAUGUCUAUUAUACUUCUAAUUAUAUUAUUAUGAGGUUUUCUUUACAUUUUCAUGAGUUUUAAACAAUUUUAAGCACCAAUAUUUUUUUCCAAAAUAUCCACCGAUAUAUCUCCGAUAUAUCCAAUAUAUCUCCGAUAUCUCCGAUAUAUCCGUAAAAUCGAAGUACCGAUAUAUCCGUGAUUACCGAUAUUUUCAUCAUUGCUUAGAUGCAACCUUCUUCCAAAUGACAUACUUUAGUCAAUACUUAUAUUUUUUCGUUUCACUUCUUUGAUACAACACCUCAUGGAUUUAUUGUUUAAUUUAUUUGUAAUUAUAAAACUAUUUUUCAUUUUUAAUAAGACUUGAAUUAAUUUAAUAAAUAUUAUAUAAUUUGAAUUUAUAAUUCUUUUUAUAAAAUCAAAGUAUAUUAAAAAAAAAACAAUUUAUCCGAAGAAAGUUUUUUAUUUUUUAUUUUUUAAAACCGAUUUUAAAAAUAACUAGCUAGACACCCUUAUUUUGAUAAAAUACGAAAUAAAAGUGUAAAAACAACAUGGCCAAAUAGGGGCUUAAAUUUUAUUUUUAAAACAUUUUUUUACACUAAAGUGCAUUUUAAAAACACCAUCAAAACCAACUACAAGUUAUGCUUCUUCCCGUAAUAGAAAUAUUUUAGGCCAAAAUAGAACCUCCCCAAAUAAAGACCCUAUACUAAACUCCUUUUCAUUUUAUUAAUACAAAAGUGGGGAAAAAAGGUCUAUGCUCACCUAAAAAACAUGAAUAUUGUGAAUUCACCAUUUCUAUAAGGAAGUUGAAAACUUCAAAAUUUUAUCAACAAAUUCUCUAAAAUCCUCAAAAUAUAUAGGGCCUGUUUCACAAAGUUUUUUAAAAUUUGUUUUUAUAAAUUGCUUUUAAAAUAUAGAAUAAAUAACAGUUUUUUAGAUUUUUUGAAAAAUAAGAGUGUUUGGUAAGAUGUUUUUUUUUUUUUUUUUUUUUUUAAGAAUUAAAUAAAAAAUAAAAAAAUUGUUUAGAUAAAAGAAUUUGUAUUGUUUUUAAAAACAAUGUCUUACUUUUAUGUUAUAAAAAUUUUAUUAAUUUAAUUUAUAAUAAUAUGAAAUGAAAUUCAAGUUAAGUCUUAUUAAAAAAUACAAAUUAAAUCUAUAAUUAUGCAUGAGUUAAAGAUAAAUAUAUAUUUUUUAAAACUAUAAAAUAAAUUUUCUAUUAUAGUGAAACAAAAAUUACUAUAAAAUAAAAAUAAUUUUAAUAUUCAUUUUUAAUACAAGUCAAAUAAGUACUUUAAUUAAUUUUUUUUAUCAUGAUUUCUUAUGUUUUUUUUUUUUUCUAGAAAUUAUUUUAAGUAAUAUAACUAAUUUUUUUUUUAAUGUUUUAUAAAAAUAAGGAUAUUUGGCAAGUUGUUUUUAUAAAAGGAUUUUAAAAAUAAAUGGAUUUUUUUUUUUUUUAAAAAAAGAACAAAAUGAUUUGUUUGAAUAAAUUGUUUUGAUUUUGUAAAAACAUUUUAAAUUCAAUUUAUAUAAUAUUAAUUAAUUAAAUUAAAUUGAAGUUUUAUUGAAAAUAAAAAUAAUUUUGUAAUUAAAAUUAGAUUAAAAAAUAUAUAGGUUUUAAUAAAUCGUAAAUAGUAAUAUUAUAAUAAAAUUAUAAAUUAUAUUUUUAACAUAAAAUAUACUAUUUAUUACAUAUUAAAAAAAAUAUUUUAUUAUAUUAAUAAUUUUAUGGUAUUAAUGAGUUUAUUAUUUAAGUUUUAAAUUAUUUUUAAAAAUUAAUAAAUUUGUUAACAAAUGCAAUGUACUAAAUGUGGUUUAAUUUGGAGUUAAUUUGUUUAGGGAAAAAAAUAAAAAAUAAAAAUCUUAUGUAAAAGAGAAAUAAUAGAGUGUGUGUGUUUUUUUUUAUUAUUUUUAAAAAUCAGUAAAAAGAACUUUUACUUAUUGCCUAAAAAUUAUUCUCUAUUUUAUUUUAUUUUUUAAAUCUAGAAAUAGAUAACAAUAAUAAAAAAAAUUAAAAAAGAAAAAUGUUUUUUAAAACUCAGACUUAUAAUUGCUUUUGUUUCUCAUUCGCACCCCUGGAUUCCUGGAUUCUAAACACAAAAUUAAGUUGAAUCGUCCAUCUAUCUUGUAAGCCAAGAAUUCACAUAGAAGAAAUAAUCGGAAUUUGAUUUGAUAUCAGAUUUAGAGUGGCUCACUACUCAUGCAUUGUCCCACAAUAGUAAUGCUUUGGGCCGAGAUAAACCCAUUUGUGGGCCCAAAUAAAACCCCUGGUUUGAAAACAUCGAUUUUACAGUGGCCCAAAAGAUUAUCUAUGAGGGGAAGAUAACUUGGAAGUCAAGCAAACACAUUUAUCGCUAACUUUUCUCUAAUUAUAAAAUUAUAACUUGGUCUUCUACACGUCUCACUUAAGAGGCGGAGCCACUUGGCACUACCUUUCCAUAUUGUAAAAGGAGAAGAAGCAGAAGGAGAAGAUUCUUAUGCCAUUCCACACACCAUGGCUAGUACUGCUAUGCUGCUUGGCCCGCCGGCUCUCCGCCAUCCUAAUUCUCCCGCCGGCACUGUCUUUGAAGAUGGGGUCAUUCUAACGGAUUCCCUGAUCGUCCGCACCAGUAAUCUGGAGCUUUCUGAAAAACCGCCACUGGAAUCCCUGGCGUAGUGCUCUGUCAGUGGGGAUAUUGCUAUGGAUUGUUUGGAUUCCCAAGCCCACAAUCUUCAUCUUCCCGGGAAACCGCCGAUGGGCUUAACGGAAAACAAGUCUCCGACCUUUUUGUCUUCCGGGAACCCGUGCUUGGACUUCUUCUUCCAUGUGGUUCCCGAUACGUCGUCUGAUGAUCUGAUCCGACGGUUUGAGUUGGCUUGGGAAUUCAAUCCGCUGACGACGUUAAAACUGAUAUGCAACUUGAGAGAGGUGAGAGGCACCGGAAAAUCUGACAAAGAGGGUUUCUACACGGCGGUUCUCUGGCUCCACGACCACCAUCCCAAAACCCUAGCCUGCAAUGCUAGGGUGUUGGCCAGCUUCGGUUAUUUCAAGGAUUUUCUCGAGAUUCUCUACCGGCUUCUGGAGGGCCCUAAAAUUCGAAGAAUCGAAAAGAAAGACUGGCUGGAUCGAAAAGGAAGGAAGAAAAAUUCCCGGAAAAGGAACUCAAUAUUCAAGCGAGAAAAUAGGCCUGGAGUUGAAUUUCCUGUAGAAGAGAAGGAUGUGGAGUAUAUGGUGGAAGAAUUUGUGGAUAAAGAAAAGGCUAGGGUACUGAGAAAGGAGAGAGAACUUGCUCUUGCCAAAAGAGCCCUGCACAAGUAUUCUACUGAUUCUAAUUAUCAGUUCUUACAUGAUCAGAUUUCAGAUUUAUUUGCUGAACUUCUGAAAUCUGAUAUUCAGUAUUUAAACUCCGGUGAGCUUUACAAGAUUAGUCUCGCAUCCAAAUGGUGUCCCACAAUUGAUUCUUCUUAUGAUAAAUCCACCUUGAUAUGUGAAAAUAUUGCUCGAAAGGUUUAUUCUCGCGAGGAAUAUAUAUCCAGAAUACCAAGGAAUUGAGGAGGCUCACUAUGUUAAUAGAGUCAGGGAUAGGUUGAGAAAACAAGUACUUGUUCCAUUACGUAAGGCCCUGGAGUUGCCAGAGGUUUUCAUGUGUUCGAACCAGUGGGGAUCACUUCCCUACAACCGUGUGGCUUCAGUGGCCAUGAAAUCAUACAAGAGCCUCUUCUCAAAACAUGAUACAGAGCGGUUUGGUGUGUAUCUUGAGAAAGUGCAAACUGGGAAGGCUAAGAUUGCAGCUGGUGCAUUACUUCCCCAUGAGAUUAUAGCUUCAUUGAAUGAGGAGGAUGGCGAGAAAGUUGCAGAGCUUCAGUGGGCGAGAAUGGUGGAAGAUUUAUCAAAGAAUGGGAGGCUCACAAAUUGCAGUGCGGUAUGUGACGUAUCAGGAAGUAUGAGUGGAACUCCAAUGAAGGUGUGUGUGGCUCUGGGGCUGUUAGUUUCAGAGCUCAGUGAAGAUCCAUGGAAAGGUAAUGUAAUUACUUUCAGUGCAAGUCCUGAGCUUCACAAGAUCCAAGGAGACAGCCUUGUAUCCAAGACUGAAUUUGUGAGGAUGAUGGAAUGGGGUGCGAACACUGAUUUUCAGAAAGUUUUUGACAGAAUCUUACAAGUAGCAGUGGAGGGAAAUCUGAGUGAAGAUCAAAUGAUAAAGAGGGUUUUCGUUUUCACUGAUAUGGAGUUUGAUGAAGCUUGUGGGAGGUAUAACUAUUGUGAAUAUGACUAUGAUAUGGAGGAAAUUGAUGAGAGUCAGAAGGCAUCUCAGAAGUGGGAGACAGAUUAUGAAGUGAUACAGCGGAAAUUCCAGGACAAAGGAUAUGGAAAAGUUCCGGAGAUAGUGUUUUGGAACCUUAGAAACUCAUCAGAGACUCCAGUGAUGGCCACAGAGAACGGGGUGGCCUUAGUAAGCGGGUUUUCGAAGAAUCUGUUAGACCUUGUUUUUGGAAGGAGGUGGAAUUCUGACCCCUCAGGAUGUGAUGGAAUUAGCCAUCUCUGGUGAAGAUUACAAGAAACUUGUUCUAUUUGAUUAAGAUAUCAAGAGAUUUAUCAAUAAUAAUAUGUUUUUUUUUUUCUAUGUGAAAUACAUGUAAUAUUAACUAUGGAGUUAUCAAAGUUCUGGAAAUUUAAUUAUUUCUUCUUUUCAAGUUUUGUUUGUCUUUGUUAGGAAUUCCCCUUGGGCGGACCCAGCUGGGGACUUGGAUUGAGGAAGUAAGGAGGCGAAAUUGUGUUCUUCUAUGGACAGAGAAAAAAGAUAAAAAUAAAAAAUAAAAAAGGAGGUUAUUUGCAUUUGGAUGUCAUGUGGUUUCAGGGUACAACUACAAGUUCGAAAUUGUACAUAAUGUGAAAAUUCCUGUGUGGAGAACAGCAUAAAUAUGUAUCUCAGUGUGUUUUGUUUGAGCUAAUUGGCAAAUUCGCUUUAAACAUGGUCACAUGGAUGCAUAUUUAUUUGUGAAAUGAUAGUAGUCGAUUACUUGGUCAGUAAGGUUUGUAUCUCUAACUCCAACAUCUUAUUGUAGUCUUUUAAAAUGUCAAAAGUUUAAUGCUAGCUUGAGAAAUUUUGGAAUGGAGACAUUCUAAACAAAGUUAAUAAUCCAUGAGACUUGGUAAAACCGAUCAGAUGAUGCUUACGUACAUGAAUGCCUUCUUUAAGCCGUAUCCUAUUUUCAUUGAAUGAGACGUGCCAUCUAGUUUUGUUCUUGUCUUGAUUGGAUCAUGAUCCCGGGAAUUGAUUACUGUUCUGAAUUUGCGAAUGUUCAAGGUAUUAGAGAAAGUUAAUAUUAUCGUUAAUUUACAUAUUAGUAUUUAUCUAGUUAUUAUAUAUUAGUUUGAAUUAUAAUAUAAUAUAGAAUUUGAAUCAAGUUUACUAUUAGUUUGAAUUACAAUAGGAAAUAAAGUUUGAAUUAUAGUAUAACUCAAAUAUAUUUGUAUAUAAAUAUCCAUCUUUAUCAAUGAGAAUAGUAAACCAUAUUUUUCUCUAUCUUCUUCUUUCUCUAUAUAUAUGGUAUCAAAGCCUCCAAAUCCUAAACCUAGUCUCAACUUAGAGCAAAUUUAGGGUGCAGGGUUUAGGCCCCGCCUCCCCCAACCCUUACCACAAAUGGUAGUGACCUUGUUAUGCCUAUGUAUUGUCAAUGCCUCAUUUUCUAUGGUCUUCAAUACAAUAUCUAGUUUCAAUGUCUCUUUCCUUACUAUCUCCAAUGCAAUAUAUUGAUUUCAAUAUCUCUUUACAACCAAGAGCUCCAAAUUUUCCUGGUUCAAAUCUACCAUAAUUUUUAUUCUCCUUUGCUUUUUACCAAUAUUAGUUCCCCUAAUUUAAUAUAUAUCUCUUUAUUACCUUCAACUCUACCUCUCUCUUUCUUUAAAAGCUUCCUCAAAGAUUUGAUUGCUUUCUUGCAUGUUUUGGGAAAACAAACAUGCUCAUAUUCUAUUACCUCUACUUGAGAUCUGCCUUAUACUCUACCUUCUUCUUUACCUCCUAUAUCAUCUACUACAUUAGCUUCAAAAACAUUAUUUAGUUUGAUGCUAAAUAAGGCUCCUAAUCCUACCCUUCCUUCAACUAACUUUCUUUUACAAGUCCCUCAAAGUUUUUUUUUUUUUUUUUUUGGAAAUUUGGCUUAGAAAGAUUUCAUUACUCUUACCUAAUCUUUCAACCAUCAAGUCGAAUCCACUUAUCUCUUGAAUCCAAGGAGACUACCCUCCACAAAAACAAGGAGAUUGACCCCCACAAUAACAAAGAGAUUGUCCUCCAUAGAAACAAAGAGAGCUUCCUUCAUGGAAGCCGAAUACAUCGCAAUCUAUUUUCUUUCUCUCAAGAUCAAAUCUCCAAUCGGAGCUCCAUCUUGUGGGGAUAUAUUAGAAAAAGUUAAUAUUAUCCUUAAUUUACAUAUUAGUAUUUAUCUAUAUUAUAUAUUGAAUUAGAAUAGAAUAUAGAAUUUGAAUUAAGUUUACUAUUAGUUUAAAUUACAAUAGGAAAUAGAGUUUGAAUUAUAGUAGAACUCAAAUAUAUUUAUAUAUAAAUAUCCAUCAUUAUCAAUGAGAAUAGUAUUCCAUAUUUUUCUCUUUCCCUGAGGCUUCAGAAUGUGAUCUUGAACAUUUGAUCUUUUGGAUUCUUCUUGUUUCGGUGGUUUAAUAUAAUGGAAUGUUUAAUUAUAGCCUACUUUAUCACCAUGGAUGUGCUCCUGCAGAUUUCUUGAGGGUGAUGGUUAUUUUGUCAUGUUUCUUGAAUGGUUUGCAUCAGCUGCCUGAGCUGUUGUUGCUGGUCACUUUUGCAACCAGGGAAAGAAUCAUGGCUUUGGAGAAGCCAGCUUCUGUUUUUGUUGCCCAGCUGUUAGUUCACUAAGAUUGGGGGUCCUAACAUGUAUGUAUAAUCAUAAGCAAGGAAAUUUUAUGUCUUACGCUAGAUAGGUACCAUGAUAUGAUGUUUGAUUGAUUUAUUAACUCUACCUGUUUCAAAAGGCAUCAACAUUAAUUUUACCCUUUUAACACAUUGGAUUGUUUGACCUUACGAGAUUUUCUAUUUCUGUACUAUUUGAACUGCAAUCGUUAUGGUCCUUAGGUCUCUAAACCUUCGUUUAAAAUAAAAGUAAGGAGCACACAUAGUAAAAGUUAAUUUUGGGUAACUUUUAAAACAAAGAGAAAAGUAAAAGUUGUUUUUGAGAAAAACAUAUAGAAAUUGAAAGAUUUUUUAUUUUGAGAAAAAAAAGUCAUAGAAAAGAAAUAAUAUCCCCAUAUAAGUAGAUAUGAUCUAUCCGAAGUGUAGCUACUCUCCUGGAUUUAUUCUAACAUUUUAAAAUUUUUCUCAAUGGGCAAAGGAAUAUCAAAUCAAGCUUGAGUAGGAUUAAUUUCUUAAUUUUUAAAAUAACUUAUAAUUAAAAUUUUUUGGUGUUUUCUUUUUUGGACAAUUUUUUAUGAAGACUCUGAAUCAUGCAAGAGAUAUGGUUAUUUUAAAAAAAAAAAUAAUUUAAAACUCAAAUACAUAAUCAAUGUCACAAAUUUAUAAACAAAAGGUUUUUAAAAAAUACUAUUAUUUCCCCUCUACACAUAAUUUUACUUUUCCGAUUUAUUUAUUUUUGUUGGAAAACAGUCUUCAAAUCAAGUAAAAUUAAUAUGUUAAAUUUGUUAAACAAAUAAAUUUUAAAAUACAAUUUGGAACUCAAAAAUCAAUUCAAGUAAUGCUAAAAUUCAAAAAAUCAAAUUUGGAAUAAAAUGACUUUGUAAAUUUUUUUACUAAACAAAUGAAUUUUAAAUCAAGUGAGAUUUAAUACAUUGGAUUUUUAUGAGAAUAGUAAUUUUAAAAAUUAAUUUGGAACUCAAAAAUAGACACAAUAAAUACCAAAAAUCAAUGAACCAAAAUUGGUUUGGAAUAACUCCAUAAUUUUUUAUUUAUUUAUAUAUUUAUUUUUUUGUGCACACGAAUUUCUUACUAAGCAUAUUGCUUCCAAAUUGAGAAAAAUUUACUAUUUAGAUUUUUUUAAUGAGUUUAAUGGUAUUUAAAAAUAAUUCAAAAAUUCGAAAAUUGACUAAUUUAAUAUUAUAAAUUCAUAAACCAAGACUAAUUCAAAAUGCAUUGGGGGCUAAGGGGGUUGAAAUUAAUGCUCCAUUUGGUUGUGGCCACCAAUUGGCAAUGGCCACCAAUCAACCAAUCAAGGUGGCUAAGGGGGUUGAAAAUAGGGACAAUGGGGUGGGUUUGGGACAGGACACUCAUAUCCCAUUCCCAUCCCAAUUACACAGUUAUUUCCCAUCCUUAUUCCAAACUUGUGUUGGGGCAAGUUGAUUUGUUCCCAUCUUUGUUAACGAAAUGACUAAUAACCUCAUCCUCUCCUUGUCUUAGAUGUACAUUUUCUCAAAUUUGGUCAGGUAUGAUUGAUUCAAGCCCUAACCUUAAUUGGUAAUGAGUGGAUACCACACCUAAUUGCAUUCUUCUUUCGUUGCAAAAUAAUGAGAUUAUAAUAAUCUAGCAAAUAAGAAAAAAUAGUAUGGAAGUUCAAAUUAACACCAUAACUAUCAAUAAUUUUAAGCUUAUAGAUGACUUAAAUGAUUGAAAACUAAUGCAAAAUACUAAAAAAAAAAAAAAUCAUCUAAAGAAUUCACAAGAGAAUAGAACGAACAAAACCAAAUAGGAACAUGGGUCAACAUUAGUUACAGAUUUUGAUCCCUUUCAAGGCCAAUCUUUGAACCAAGACUUCAUCAAAUCUACUACUUCAAAGGCUUUUGUGUUCUUCUUGAGUUGUACUCUGGAACAAAGACUUCGAGGUGAUGCUUUAGAUGAUUGCAUUACACAUAUUUAGGGUAGGGAGAUUGGAGAAGCUUGAAGAUGCCAACGAUGGGUACAAUUGAGUGGUCAAUAAGAACAAUGUGGCCUAUGACUAGUUUGAUGUCAUGGUAUAGGAGUUUUGGGCAUUGAGGUGAAAGCAAGAGCAACAUGGAAUUGAUUUCAAAGUCUUUCAAUUAGUGUAAAGGAGGAAGAAGAAGUGGUAUUGAUCCUAGAAAUAGUGUUUUAGGUGUUGCAUUAGAGGAAAAGAAAAAGAAAAAGAAGGAACCAUUGGAAUUAGUACGAGUGUGAAGAGAGAAGUGUAUACAUAAGGGGAAGUAAAAGCAAAGUUCUAAAAAUUUAUUUUUUUAUUGGUGGUGUAUGGUUGCAUGAUUAUCCCUAUAAAUAAUAGGAGUUUUUUGGUGUUCUACUAGUAGUUGAAGGAUAAUUUCAUAAGAUAAUAUUUAGAGCGGGGUGGGGUGAGUUGUGACAAAAUCCAUACCCGUCCCAAACAUUGGUUCAGGUUUUUAAAAUAUUUUCAAACUUAUCAUAUACCCAAUUUUAUAUUUCAUACUUGUCCUAAUAGAGACAGGUUAGUCAGGGUUACUUGAGUAGCCUACAAAACUAUCAUCCCUAGUUGAAAUGCUCUUUUUGGCAGUGGCAGCUAGAAGCUCGAUCGAUUGACCUACAAGACUAGUUGUCAUCAUUUUAAAAAGAGUUUUGGCUUUGGUUGUGAGUGCAAUUGAAUCUAAACUAACAUUUCCUUAAUGCAUCUACUUCAAUCCUAAACUUCUUACUUAAGCCUCAAUUGUUGUUAAGAUUUUGGAAAACCCAUUUCCUUAAAUUGUAAAUUUAAGAAAAAAAAAAUUAAAAGUGAGACAUUUCUUGAUUGAAUGUUGUUAAAGGUCCCUUGGAAUUAAGACUUGGUUGAAGCCUUGGAAGAUUAGCAGAACUCUCAACUUAUGUUUGAACCUUGAGGAGAGUGGACGUAGGCCAAAAUUUUGUCAAACCAUUAUACAAAUUGAGUUUGAAUUCUCAUUUCUUGAUUUCUUAUUUAUUUGCUUUUUCUUAUUAUUACUUGAAUUGUCAUUUGCAUUCAUUAAUGUUAAAAUUGGUUAUAAUUAGCCAACACUAAUUCUCUUUCCCCUUCCCUUAAUUUCUUGGGUGUAAACCUAGGUUGGAUUAACUAGAUUUUAUCAAAUCUAUUAAGAUGGUAAAAGAAUAAUUAUUCUUAACAUACAUAAGAUCAUCUUCAAUCAAAUGACUCAUUGGCUGAUAUGUUGAAUUUGCUUAUUACUUGCAACUCAAAAUUGUGUUCUAGUUGAUAUGUCAAGUCCUGAGUGUAUGGACAUUAAAUUUGUAGUACGUGAUGAGUAUUUAGAUGGUCCAAUUCCAAGAAAGUGAUUGAAAACUAGUUCAAGAAAGGUGCAAAAGGGAAUUGUUUUGGUAUUUUCGUUUUUAUUCUUGAAGGUGGCAGAGCUAAAAUUUGAGAAAUCAAGCAAAACAUACUGAAAUUACAUUGAAAGAAAGAAAAUGGGAGUUAAUGUCUUGCAGUACAUGAUAAGGACUUCAUGCAUGUAGUGUGACCCAUGUCUUGGACUGAUGCCACACUCACGGUUACACUUAUACCCUUAGUUCUCUCUUUACUACCUUAGCUAACCUAGAUCAGGUUAUGAGAUAGGCACCUCACCACACCAUUACUUGCCCAUUAAUUAGUGACAUUUUCAAGCAAUGAGGUAACAUGGUGACACCAAGAGGGUAUAUUCCUCACCCCCAACAAGCCUAGACCUGGUCUAAAAAAAAUGGAGAAAAAUGACGUGUUGUUAUGCAGAAAUAUAGCAACCAUGCCUUCCUCAUUACUUAGAUUCAGAAUGUGAAGGUGAAAUUGAGAAACAGAAACUCUUGAAACCAAAAUGAAAAUUGAUACUUUUACGAAGAAUUACAACAACAUUAGAGGAAGACUACAUUCUUCCUCUUUAUUCCUACAUUUCUACACUACUUCUACUCCACUCCAUAUUUCUACAUACAUCUUUAAUCAGUCUUCCCUCCUUUAUAUAGAGCCAUCUUCACACAAAUUCCGCAAGGUAGAAAAGAGGAAUGAAACUUGGAGCAAGGUUCGACUACUGGCUGUAGCUUGUCAAGGCUGAAAGUGAACUUUUUUUCUUGGCUUUUCUGGGCAUAGGUAGUAACUUGUAGGUUCCUUUUUGGAAUGAAAAUGGUACGGCUAGAACAUGUGGCACUCUCUUGUUGGAUGAUGUGUCAAGCAUGUGGCAGCCAUCUAGUGGAGAUUAUGUCAAUUUUGGGAUGGAGAGUUGGCAUCCAAUUGCAAAGAAAUAUGACAUCUACCAACAUGCAAUGUCAACCUAUGUAGAUCAUAUGAAGAUAGAGAGGAAAAAUAUAGAAAUGGAUAUAUAACUAGAACUAGCUUUUUAUUAAAUGAGACGGAGAGCCAACAAUGAAGGAAAAUCAAAAUUUUUGGCUCAUAUCAAAGAAUUCACAUUGUGUUACCCUAGGUUUUCUUAAAACUUACUUUUAUGAUAAUAAAAAAUCAUUAUUGUUUAAUCCUUUGUUUUAAACGCAUGUUUAGCAGGUUGUAAAAUGUAAAUAUCUUUCGAAAUUCAAAUAUGAAGAUAUGACAUCAUUUCAAGCAAUAUAGUCUCUAGGAAUUAAUGUAAAGCUAAAUUAAGGUGCAAUUAAGUUAGUUCAAUGCAUUAUUUUAAGAAACUUGACCUAUCAAAACCUUGUCUUACUUCAAAGCCUCUUUUUCUUUUCUUCCAACUAACAUUUUAAUAAGUGAUCGCAAAAGUACAAAAUUAGAUGAAAUCCAUUUCAAUGGUUAAAAUGAUCAAAUUCAAACUUUUUCUAAGUAUCUUUUAAAAGCAUCAAUAUUGAAAGACAAUUUUAUAUUUAGUCAAAGCUUGGACAGAGCCAAAAAGCACACAAAAAUUUAUAUUUUCUAGCUCUCUACCUUGGAUGGUCUCUUGAUCCUACUUGGAGAUGUGCAUAAAUAAAAGGAUUUGAAAAUGACAAUUGACUAAGUAUGUAGUCAAUCAAUUACUCAUUGAUUGACUAGUUGAUCAAUUAACUUUGCAACAUCAUAUGCAAUCCUAAUAGCUAGUCAUCUAAUCAACUAGGUAGUAAAUCAAUAGGCCAAAAAUAUGUUUAUAAUGACUAUUUUGUACAAAAACCACUUAUAUAGUUAAAUAUAAUGCAUUUCAUUUAUAAAUCUUCUAAUUCUUGAAUAACAAUCCUAUCAUCCUUUGAAAGUUUUUAUUACACCUUUUCUACAUUUGUUCUAAAACUUAUACAUCACCCUUAAUUGUACCAUGAGAACCUAGCAUUUUUUUUUUUUUUUUUGUAUUUCAUCAAAGUUAGCUCUUGUACUCAUUGUUGUAUUAUUUUUAUUGUAACUUAGAGAGCGAGUGUUUUCAAGUGAGUGAAAUUGACUUGUAAAUAUUGUAAAGAUUCAUUGAUAUGUAUCUCAAACUAGGUGUACAAGUUGAAACAUUUGCUAGUAGAUUUUCUCAAGAUUUAGAAUGAGCUUAAGGCUAUCGAAUUAGGUGGGGUUGCGCCAAACCAUAUCACAUCGUUGUUUGCACCUUUUUUUUCACUCUCUUUUACUUAGUUGCUCUAUAUAUAUUGUCUAGCAAUAUCCUAAAGGCUUGAUGGGCUAGGGAGCAUCCCUCUGAAUGAAAAAUUUUCAUUCAAUUCUUAGUUGUAUUACGCAUAUAUAAAAUGCCUCAUUGUUUUAAUGGUAUUCAGUCGUGGCACCACAGAUAUGGACAUCUAAAUUUUAAAAGUUUGAAACUUUUAGCUAAAGAAAAUAUGGUGCUUUGCCUUUUUGGAAAGCAUGUUGAUGAAAUCCAUGAGAAUUGUAUACUUGGAGAGCAACAUCGAGAUAACUUUUUUUUUUUCUUUUUUUAUAAUGCAUUGUUUGUCCAAAUUCCGUACAAAUUAGGCCACCACAUGUUCAUAAUUCUCCCUUCUUGAAUUUGAAAACUCGGACAAUUUGACAAUGCGACACCUAAGUCCGGUUUUUAAAUGCUAAAGUGAAAGGGCAGGUAUGGACCAUUGAAAUGUGAUAACAACUUUUGGCCUUUUCCUUUUCUCUGUAGCCAUGUUGUCUCUUUUUAAUUUCUUUUGCAUGAUUUUCUUACCUAAACAGAAUCAUAGACUUGUUUAAUCUCUAAGUGGGAUUUCAUCCACCUUAAGCUACUGUAUUAUAUCUCGGUGGAGGACAACCGACAUAGAGCACAUGCAAGUGGGUAUAUGGGACAUGAAAUAUCUUCUUAUAAAGCUUGUUUUGCAGUUAAAUUAAUUGGAUAAGUAGACACUGGCGUUUCUAAAUUUCCCACCUAAGAUAAUGACCUUAUCCUUGACUGCUAGAUACACAAACAAUUAUACCUUCAAAAUCUACUGUGAAGUGCUUCAUGUAUGUGUGAAGUAUUAGAAAUUUCUUUCUUGGCAACUUGUUUUUUUCUUUGCGGUCUACUGAUAGGUUUGACUAAAAUUAUAUUCCCUGUCCUGCUAAUUAAUUUUCACGUGCAUGCUCAAAAGAAGAGUAUGACCUUAGUGCACCAAAAUCACUUUCAAUAAUUUGUGAUAAGUUUUUUUGCAUGACAUUAACCUUAUUCAUUUAGAUAAUGUUUAGUUCUCAUAAAUAUUAAGAAAAUGAAAAUAAAUAUUAAGAAAAAUAUUCUUAUAUUUGAUUGUAUUAUGAAAAAUAUCAUAAAAAAUCAAAUAUAAUUAAAAUUAAUUAAUAAUUUAUAUAUUUUAAAAUUAUUUAAUUUUUAUAUUAAAGAUAUAAUAUAAAUGAAAUGAGUUUUAAGUAUUAUAUAAAAAUGAUUUAUUUAUUUAUUUAUAUAUAUAUAUAUAUAUAUAUUUAGUUUUUCUCUUUAUUUUAUUUUCCUUAUGUUUUCCUCACAUUUUCCGGAAUCAAAGAUAGGGAAAUCCACAAUUACCUUCAACUGAGUAGAUUCUAUUGUUUUAGCAAUGUUAGGCUGCUAACUUGUGGUGGUACGAACCAAAUGAUCCAUGUUAAUCUUGGCUUGAUUUAAUUUGGCUCUAUCUCAGAGAACUCAAGGAUCACGUCAACUCUGGUUUCUACUAUUCAGGUCCAUUCCCAGAUGAACUGGUUCAAAUUUGAGAAAAUGGUAACAGACCUUUAGUGAUAUUGGUUUGGAGCCAGUUGCCAAACCUGCCCUGAGCUUUACCACUAAUGUCAAGGGACAAAGCCAUUUGAACAAAAACAAUAGCUUCAAGAGACUGAAUCGUGGAUGAAAUCUGAUCCACAUUUCUUCUCAUUUUGGGAAAAAAUGAGGACUUAACCACAAAGAUUCUACUGCCUCAUAGUGCUUUUCCUGAUCUAAGGUUGGCUCGUUUCCCAAAUUGUGAGGUGCACGUGCCACUCUCACGCUCAGGAGUGUAUCCACGUGGUGGACAUAAGAUGGUGGCUUAAUAUCUGGUGUCGGUGGCUUUACUUUACUAGGAGAGUAGUGUGUCUUCAUCUCAUUCACUGCCAGAGGGUGGCGUAAGCAGUGACGCUAAGGUGGGGCACAGUCAAUAUCAUUUGCAUUUGACCAUUAUAAUUUUCUCCCGGCUUUAAAGUAACCUUAUCGUGAUAAUGGAUUACUAGCACUAGUUCAGAUGACAGUCAUGUUAAAUUCGGACCAUGUUUGUGUCACAUUAUCAGCAACCAUGUGCUUGUGGUUCAUGCUAUCUGCAACUAAACUUGAUAUAUAACCAGGUGAACUUCAAUCUAAAUUCUGGAAGUACUCAUGUGAUAGAUGGUGCCUGUCUGCAGUGAGUGUAUCUAUAAGAGGGAAGGCUUGGCAAAUGUUCAGUUUUCUGGGAAUUCAACAGGGAUCUAAAAUAGAUUGUUUUCUUUGCUGAUUUCAAUGGUUGAAAUUUGAGAAGAUUGUGUCCACAUAACACAACUAUUACUGGUCCUUCUGUUGCAAUUUAUCCUCUAAGGCUCUAACAUGUCUUCCAAUUCCCACUUCCCACUUCCCUGUUACUCCAGGAAAGCUGUUUCUGUCAUUGUGAAGAAGAAAAGAGACUGUACAUAUCGAUGCUUUUAAGUGGACUGGAGAAUUCAUAUCAGGUGGUCUGCAGCCAUACAUGCCACUUUGUGAAGGUUGGAACAGUCAAUCACUAGGCUAUAUUAGUGGGGCCCAGCCACUUCAAUCAAGGACAAGUCUUCAUACUUAAAGUCAAAUUCUGCCUUUAGUCUCAUUAUAAAUUGCUGUUUAAAUAUCAAGCAAACAUUUGUUUAAUGCGAUUAAGACAGCACUAACUCAAUACUUGUUCUAUUUUUGGAUGCAAAUGCUUGAUAGUUUCAUCAUUGGAGGGGAUAAAGGUGCAUUCAUGAUUAUGAAUACUUGUAGUUAUAUUUUCAUUCUCUUUUUUCUCAAUGGGACUUGUUGGCACAAUUUUGCUGUUCAGAAACCUACCUCUCCAUGGAAAAUCAGUUGUGAUUGAUAUUACUGGAUAUAUUCAAGAAAGCUAAAUGUAGAUAGCACAAAAUAUUAUCGACAUAAAUAGCAUUAACAGCGUACGUAUGUCUCAAUGCUCAUCAGCUAUAAGCAAGGGGCAAACACUUACUAUGAGCAACUUACGUCAAAAUUCCGGAAUAGGACAUAGAAGUGACAGGUCAGUAAAUAUAGAACACUGCAUAUGAGUCACAAGAAAGGAAAUUACGGGUACAUAGCAGCUCUUAUUUUACAUCCUACUCAUACUGAUCAAAGUCACUCAGUUGGGAUGGGUGGGAGUGGGAGGUUUGUGGGGUGGCUUGUGCGGAGGAGUUGGCAGCUUCUUUCCAGGACCUGGUUGCUUCUCUGCUGGAGUUGAAGGAGGCUUAAUCUUCCGAGGUGGCUUGUAUGAGUCUUCAGCAUUCUCAGCAGGAGGGUGACCAGGGUUGUGACCACAAUGUGGUGGCUUCUCUCCCUUAGGUGGUUUGCCAACUGGGGUUGGUGGCUUGUGUUCCGGAAGUGGCUUCUCUUUGUGUUCAGGAGGUGGCUUCUCCACUGGAGGCUUGUGUUCAGGAGGUGGCUUCUCCACCGGAGGCUUGUGUUCAGGAGGUGGCUUCUCCACCGGAGGCUUGUGUUCAGGAGGUGGCUUCUCCACCGGAGGCUUAUGCUCUGGUGGUGGCUUCUCCACCGGAGGCUUAUGCUCUGGUGGUGGCUUCUCCACCGGAGGCUUAUGCAAUGGUGGUGGCUUCUCCACCGGAGGCUUGUGUUCAGGAGGUGGCUUCUCUACCGGAGGCUUAUGCUCUGGUGGUGGCUUCUCCACCGGAGGCUUAUGCUCUGGUGGUGGCUUCUCCACCGGAGGCUUGUGUUCAGGAGGUGGCUUCUCCACCGGAGGCUUGUGUUCAGGAGGUGGCUUCUCCACCGGAGGCUUGUGCUCUGGUGGUGGCUUCUCCACCGGAGGCUUAUGCUCUGGUGGUGGCUUCUCCACCGGAGGCUUGUGUUCAGGAGGUGGCUUCUCCACCGGAGGCUUAUGCUCUGGUGGUGGCUUCUCCACCGGAGGCUUGUGUUCAGGAGGUGGCUUCUCCACCGGAGGCUUAUGCUCUGGUGGUGGCUUCUCCACAGGAGGCUUGUGUUCAGGAGGUGGCUUCUCCACCGGAGGCUUAUGCUCUGGUGGUGGCUUCUCGAAUGGGGGAUGCGUAGGGUAAUCAGCUAGUGAGGGGGCGGUGAGAACCACCAGGCCAAGCAACACUACUAGCAAGUAUGUAGGAGACAUCUUUGGGUUUGGGCUCAGAUGGUGCAAAACUAGGAGAAUUGGCUAGCCUUUUAUAGCGGAUCGUACCCAAUAAUGAAAUGACACGUGUCAUUAUGACCCAUGUGUCAUGUGGUCGAUUUGGGUCCUACAGUGUUGAAAACUUCGACAUCCACUUUUUUGGCCUUUUGCUUUCUCUACAGUCGCCUUGCUUUUUCCCUCUUUUCUUUUGUUUUCCUCCUGCCCCAUUCUAUCAACUAAUCACAAUUAUGUAGUUGUUUAAUUCUUAAAUGAGAUAUUAUCCGUCAAUCAUAUUAUCUUUUAUCAAGAGAGAACGGAGUGAAAAGUGGCAAUCCAAAGAAAGAAGAUCCAUAAUGCAGCUGUAAUUUUAUCGUUUACUUUUAUCUCUAGGACCACUGCAUUUUUGUUGAGAGGUGCAAUAAUACACGUCUUUAUCUGCCAUUCAAUGUUUACAGUAAAGAGAGGGCACAAAACUCUUCACUGCUCUGCAUGUGCCCCAAAAAUGCAAUUGGACAAAUUAUGAUUUGCAUGCUAAAAAGAGGCAAAUGAGGUUAAUUAGCACCAAAAUUAUUUUGUUUUCUGGACACCCCGGGGCCCUUUGGUUGGUUUGGGGGUCAGAAAAUGAACAUCAUAGGGGGUUUUUCCCUAAUGUGCAUUUGCAUUUGUAUCUGAUGGCUUUAACUCGCCUUGUUACUACAAAGAAAUUGUCACAGAUAGGAACUUAUUCCAGGCUGAGUAUCUCCGCAUGGACCCUAUAAAAGAAGACAAGUCAUAAUGAACAUCUAACCUUUGUUCAAUUUGAUUCAAUGCCCCUAUUGUGUCCAUCUCACAAAUCUGAAUUAUUAUAUCCAUUGAAUACAUAAAUUAAUGAAGAAAAUAUGAAACCCAAGAUACAUCUCUGCACAACCUCAACCCUGGUUGCUAUGUUUCACUUCUAUUCACAUGAGGAUAUUGAUUACGGAAUAAGGAAACCUAGCAAGGGUUUACUCGGCUCUGGUUUGAUGCUAAUUGCCAAACUUGCAACAAGCCCUGAGUUUGACACCUAAUCGAUGGGCGAAUUAAAAGUCUCCUCCAAACAUAUAUUCCACAGCUUGAAGCUCACAGAAGAUGCUAUACAGGCAGGGAAAAACCUUCAGAGUUAGCUACCAAAGAUAAUUAUCAAGGAGAUAUCACCAAGAGAAUUCCAUGGAGUCUGAAUCAAAGACAAAUUGCUCGCUCGUGGGGGUUCUUACUUAAUUUCUUUUGGGUAUAACUCACUGAGGGCACUGGCUUUGUUAUUUGCAUUUCGCAUUUAGAGUUCUGUUCUGGAAGGUUUGUUCUGGAAACAUAUAAAAGGAGCAUCAUUUUGUUCUAGGGUAACCCAUAGUUGUGAGUGGGUCCAUUUGCAUGCUACUUAGUUGAAAAGUUGGACAAUUUGCUCCGACGCCUACCUCCUGGAUUCCAUGCUCGGAUAAAGCAAGAAUAAUAAAAUAUUUAUAAUUUACAAAUGGGGGAAAGAAAAAAAUGUCAACAACAAACUAGGAAAAAAGAGUAGUAAAAUUUAUGCCACAUGCU